UUUACUUUUUACCAACCUAGCUUAUGCUCAGCUGAAGCAUAUCCAUGGUGCACAAUCUUAUGCAGCAAGAGAUUGCAUUAUAUAUUAUUAAAUAUGCAGCAAGAAAUCUUAUGCAGGAACCUUUGUUGUCAAAUAUGGAGAUUCCUUUAUCCUACACAAUUAUAUAUAUCAGUCUCAAAUUUGACCGCAUGAAAUACAAAUCAAUUGAGAGGAUCAUGGCAGAAUUUUUUUUAUACAUUAUGAACCUCAAUAUGUAACAAAGUUAUGCAUCCAUUACCUUCCUAAAAGAUGUAGAGUCUUGCUGCCUCAAAGAUCUUGCACAUAUGGCUCGAAGGUCAGAAGUCCAUCCCAAUAAGCCUUUCCAGUCAUUGUAUAUACACUUUAUAACAGUCGAUACACAAUAAAUAAAUAAUUUAGUCUUCUAAUUCACAACUAAGUUGCAUGAUAUUUAAGCUGGAUCUAAAAGUUUUCUACAACAAUCAAAAAGAUAUUACUCCUCUUAGACAUAAAAGCAAUAAAUUCUAAAGCCAAAUGGGUAGCUAAAAUAUCACUGGAAAAAAAUUAAUUACUUAAAUUUCUACAAUGCUAGUCACCUGCCCAUUUUCUUCAAGACCAUCAUAAUUACUCAAGAACAAGAGCAGGCAUAUCAAUACUCAAUAAUCAAUAAGUAAUAACACCUUAUGGCCAAAACAUCAAAAUAUACGCCUGUCCAUAAAAUGAAAGGGGUAUAUUUUGAUGGUUUGCUCCACUAAAGUGAGGCAAAUGUACUUUAGAAGAUGAAGUGCACUCAUAACUACUUACUAUUAUCAUGGUUAAAUUUUAACAAAUUUGAAGUUUUUUUUUUAUUAUAACUAUUAUGAAGCACAAACACCUCUUGCUCAAAGUAUUGUUGUGUCGGACACGUUUCCGAUACCAACACACCCGAACACUUGUCGUCGGACACUUCUAAUUAGGUGUUUAAUUUAAAAUUAUUAUUUUUUGUUUAAACACUUAAAGCCGUAACCUUUACACAAUUAAUACACUUGAAAAAAAUAUAGAAAGUUGGUUUAAAAAGAUGAAUAUACCAUCAAUUUAGAUAUUUUGUUAUAUAUUAGGUGCUUCAUAAUACGUAUGCAUAUAUUGUAUCACAAUUUCAACCAUGAAUUUAUUCUCUCCUUGUUUUUUUGCUAACAACCGUGAAUUUAUUCUCUAAAGUUAACAAAAAAAUUAGACAUAUAAUGGUUAAAUUCAACAAUUAACAAAAAAAAUAGACAUGUUACCGUUUGAGUUCUUUGAAGAAUGACACCUUUAUCGCCGGACUCGCGAGAAACCAAUACGCCGGGUUUCAAAGUUUUCCAGGUGCCGUCGACGGCGGACUUGGCGUCGACAGUGCCACGGAUAAUUACGAUUUCGCCGGCGUCGGCAUCGGAGGGUGGCUCGGCGAGGAGGGAGCGGAGGUCGGAGACGGAGAUGGAGGGUGCGCGGCGGAGCUUGCGGAGGGAGGCGGAGGUGGCGGUGAAUUUGAAGAGGGUGCGGACGGCGGCGAAGGCCAAGGCAACGCCCAAAACGGCACCGUCGAAGGAAAGGGCGAGCUUGGAGAGAAGGGACAACACGGCUUGCUCCUGAUGAGACAUUAGAUUGAUCAAUGAUUCAUUCAAACACUGAUCACUGUUUCCGUUUCCACAAUAUUAUUAUCGACGAAAUCCACCACGUCUUCUAGAACAACCUAUGUUUCAGCAACUCCUCUUAAUUGAUGAUAAAAAAAAAUUCCUCUUAAUUAAACAUUUUUAAAAUAUAUAUUUAUAAUUAACUAAAAAUUAUUUUUCUUAAUUAUAUCAAAAAAAUAUUUUUGUUUACAUAAGGCUUCAGUUUGAAAAUAAUUUAUAUUAUUAUUUGAAUUAUUUACUCUGGGGCAAAAAUAUGUUUUUAUGUCUAAUAAAUAUUUGAAUAUAAUAUUUACUUUCUAAUAAAUAACAAAUUUACAUUGAUUCCCUAAAUAUAAUAAUAUUUUUGUUUUCGAUCCAUGACAUUUCUUUUAAUUUUCGAUGUUUGUUUUUCGAUAAUUGAAAAGUACUAUAACAAAUGAAAAAAAAAUUGACAUAUUUUAGCAUUUACUCUUAUAUUAGGAAAUGUAAUUAUAAUAAGUUUUAAUUAAAGAUUUUAGGAAUGAUUAGUACCGACCUAAGAGACAGAAACAUGUAGAAUGAGUGGGUAAUUAAGCAAAUUUACUUGAGUAUCUUAAAUUGAAUUAAUUUUAAAAUAAAAAGAUGUUUUUUUUGUCCAAUUAAAAAGAUGCAUGUUGCUAUUGUAUUUCUUCAUAAAAAUGAGGGAAAGUAUUAUUGCAAACCCCUAAUUUAUAGAAUGAAAUAUAUAUUAGAAUCUUUGAUUAUAAUGCAGUUUAUAUAUUUAAAUAUUUAUUUGUUAUAAAUUCUAAUUAUAAAAAAAAACCAAAAACCAAAUCGAUUCUUUUUGGAUUUAUUUGAAUUUUUUUUUUCAAAUCAAUAGGUUUGGUUCUGUUGUUUCUAAAAUUAAACUAAAUUGAAUCAAACGCAACACAAGUGAUAUUAUGUGUAUGAAAGUUAUACAAUAUAUAUCAUUUUCUUUUUUAGACAAUUUUUUUAAGAUAUGUUUGAUUUAAAAUAAAUAAAAAAAUUGACAGAUUUUAAUUAUAGAAUGAUUGACAUAUUAAUAAGUUUCAAGUUUCAUACAUUCUUAUUAAUAAUUUUUUAAAGUAAUUUAAUUUAAAAAAUAAAAAAAAUUAUAUAAAUUUUAAUAAAAUAAUAUUUUAGUAAAAAUUGUAAAAUAUAUUUUAUAAAAUUUGAUUCGGGUGACAUUUUAAUGAAUAAUCCAACCAAAUCGAGCCACAAAUAUUCCUAAUAAUUUCCAUGAUUAAAAAGACCCAAAAACAAAAGGAGGUCUCCCGAAAAUUUUGCUCCCGUUUUUCUGAGCCGUGACUAGCAUGCUUUCUUUAUCUCUUUUUGAUUAAGCUUGAUCUAAUGAUAAAUAAUAAACGAAUGUUCCUCUUUCUGACAACAUUGUAAAAAAGUAACGCAAAUUAUUGCUGUUAAUGUGUUGCAGGACACUUUGAUUACAGCUACUCCCCAUUCUCCAAGCUGGAAAUCACUGCUUUCUCCAACCUAAAAAUCACUGCUACAUCUAUAGUUCCUUCCUCAACACAAAACAAACAAUAUAUUUUUUGGUACUAAUGAUAUUAGUAUGAAAUAUGAUUAAUUAUUAUCAAAUUAAUCUCCUAAAAAACUUAAUUAAUCACUUUUAUAGAAUCUUUUCAUCUAAUUAUGUAAGACUUGAAUUCAAAAUUUUAUAUGAAAAAACCAAAUUUUAUACCAGAGUUGAAGACGUGUUGGUAACAAAACAAAUUGUAGGAAUACACAAAAAGAGCAAGGAAAUAUACCUUGCUUCCAUACCCCUGAAUCUCCUUUCUCUACCAUCCUUUUCCGACCAAUAUUCUUUAAUCAUCCAAUCUCAAUAGAUUCAUUAGCCCGUUAUAAAUUCUAGCCUCUUAAGUUAAAAUUUUGAUCAUACACAACACAAAAACAAACUCUUAAUUAAUAAUAGCUUGACCUCCACAAAAAUUACCAGCACCACCACCACCUAUGCUUAUGGUUCCUCCUCCUCUUCUCAAAGAUCACUGGGCAUGCCAAUUCAAAGAGUGAUAGAAUUGGAAGCUCUGGUGGGUUUGUUCUGCCUAUAAGAACAACCUCUUCAUCAUCAUCAUCACCAAGAACUUCUUCAUUUGUACCAUUUCCUGAGCCUUCGAGGGUGCUCAGAAUUGGAAGCUCUUCUCGUUAUGCUUAUGCUUGUUCUUUAUUCGCAGGCCUCGGUUCAAAAAUUCUUUUGGAGAUAGAGAAAGGGAUCAUCAUGACUAUAUAUGUCCUUUUUUUUUGUCUCUAUGUUAAUGUUGCAUUUAUAUAUGGUAUUAUAUUCAUUAACGUAAUAAUAUGAUGACAAGAAGCUGAGAGUUAUAUCCGUAGCAUCAGUUUUAUUUUAAGUUCUGAUUUGGACAUUUUUUAUUAGCAAAGAUUUUUGGACACCAAAAAUGUAUUUGACACUGAGAAUGAGAGAGAUAAAAGAGGGGGUGAGGGAGUAUAUGAUAAAUAAUGUAAAGUAAUAGGAAGAAUGUGGUAGAGAAAAAUAAAGAGUUUAAAAAACUGAAAUGUUUAAAUAAAAAUUACUCUUUAAAAACUUAAAUGAACUCAUCACAAAAUCAUAUGCAAUUGAAUCUGGAAGCUUUCAGAUUGCAGUUUUGGGGCUCUCACGAGUCACGAUCUCGAACAACUUGAGGAAUUGUAUUAUGUAAUACAGUAUGUACUAUGUAGUACCAGCCAGUGUCCAGUAUUAAUUAUUUAGUAUUAUUUAUUCUUAACAAUGAAAUCAGCAGGCCCAACCAAGGCCCUAAUCGUAGAAUUGGAAUAAUCUGGGCCAACUCUACCAAACGGAUUUUUCAUUGUUGGGUCUGUGAAGUGCUUUGCUACAAUUUAAUCAUUUAAAUUAAAUGGUUUAACGCAUCAAAAUCGGGUAUAAAUGAGUUUAGAUUUAACUUGUACAAAAUAAAACUUUACUCAUUUAUUUAAACAAGCCUAAUUGAAAGUUUGAAUUUGACAUGUUACGUAAAAAUAAAGCUUAAAAACUUAACUUAUUUUUCUCAUAUGUAACUUAAUUAUUCUUGUUUUUAUGACAUUUUAUCAAUUUAAUAUUCAAUAAACGUUUUAAUAUUAGAAAAUAAUCUAUAAAUAGAAAUAUAUGCUCAACAUGAUGUAUGCGAAAUUUAAAAAUUCUAUAUUAUUAACUUUUCAUAGUACAGUAAAAAUUCAUAACUUCUUGACUAUUACAAAAGAUAAAUCUCAAAAUUAAUUUUUAACGUACUCAACAAAUUUUUACAUGUUUUCAUGAUGAAUACAUAAAUAACUAGUAAAACCCAAAUCAUGAAUUUAAAUAAAAGGGUUUAAUCAAAAGCAAUUAAUAUUGUGUUUAUAAAGCUUAGGUUUGAUUAAUUUAAAUAAUCAGGCCCAAUAUUUUGAAUUUAUCUAUUUAACUAAACAAAUAAACUUGAUAAACAUUUAACGAGUCAAUCUCAUAAAAAAUUAUGAAUAACUCAGUUCAUUUACAUCCAUACAUCAAAUACUACUCGUUUUUCCUACAUUAAUUGGAAUUAAACUUAGAUUUAAAAAAAAAAGUGAUGUUGGCAAUGUUAAUUGCCAAGGAGGAGUGGACCAAAAAACAUCCCAAGGACGCAAAGAUUGUGAAGUCACAUUUGAAAUAUAAAGGCGUGGAUGAUAAUGAACCUCGAGUUAGAUUAUUCCGUUUUCUAGAGCUUUGGUAUAGCUACGUCAUUGAUGUGCUAAAAAUAAAUAUUCACAAGUGCAUUAAGACUUAAGAGCAUUAGGAUGGCAACUCUACAGUUAACUGAUUAUAUUAAUUAAGGUUACUUUCAAUGCACAGUUAAGUGAAGCUUCUUCCAAUCACUCCCCAAAGAAUUGUACUCCUAUUUAGCAUCAUUUAUUAAUAAUAAUGUUCUGGUUUGAAAUAUUUAAUUUCAUUUCAUGCCAGAAUAAGAAUGUUCUGAUACGACAUGUAUUUUCUGUCCAAAAAAAAAUAUGGCAUUUAUUCCUUGAUCAUUUAAUAUGAAUUUGAAAUUUUAGUCAUUUAUAUAUCUUUUAUAGUUAAUUUAUUGUAACUGACAAAGUUUUAUCAUAAUUUUUCCUGUUUGACAUUUGUAUGUUGAUUUAAAGUGUAGAUUUGUUGUUGGAAGUAUUUUUUUCAAAUAAAAUGUCAAAACACUUACGUCAGUUGGCACCCCCUCUCUAUAAAGAACCGCGUGUACUGUUGAUUAAGUUAAAUGUUGAAACAAGUUGCUAAAGUAUGCAAGUGCUAAGCUUUUAUGAGAGGUUGACUUGUUUAUUUAAACUAUAACUUGUGUGCAAGUACAUCCCAGCAAGUAAGCAACACACUUCAAUUUGCUAAACCGAUCAAUAAAAAUGAUUCAAUUUGGUUUUGGUUGAUUUAAAAAAAUAAAUAAAUAAAUAAACAAACAAACCAUGCACAACUCUAUUGUUGUUCAAGAGUAUAGCGUGACCCAACUGAAAAAGAGACAACAGAGAAAUCAAAUUAUUUUCCUAUUUCACUUACUCAAUAGUAAUAUGGAGGAAUUAGGUUACAAAAAUAAAAAAAGAAAAUAAUCAGUCUUAAUUAAAAAGAUUAAUUUAAUAGUUUAAAUAUAAAAAAUAAUAUACAGUAACUAGUUACCUUGACCUUCUAUAGUUCUAUUGUAGGAAAAAUGACAUGGUGCACCGGUAGAGCAGGGAAUUCACAGGAUACUCUCCACUCUCCAGAGUAGCAACUUGAGGCUUUAAAUCCCUGAUAUUGCAAGUGAAGUCUAUCUGAUAGUUACAAUUUACUUCUACCUUAAUCAGUAAACCUUUAUGAUUGACAUACUAGUGACAAAAAUCUAUAAACUUGCUUAUGUUGUUUAGUUCGUGAUCUUUAGUGUACUUUGUAGAGUUCAUUAGGCUAUUAAUAAAUUUGCCUUUUAAAAUGGAAUCACUAAAAUAAAAUCUGACAAAAUAUAGCUCAAUUUUAAAAGCAUAACUUAUGAAAGAUUCAACUCAAUUCGUCUAAAGAAAUUAAACCUGAAUUGUGUACUAUUGCGAUUAAAGCUGGUCCAAUUUGAAUUCAAUACGAAAGAAAUUUCCAAAACUAAUUGAACUGUUGUACAUGUGCGUUUGGAACUUGUCUUAACAUUACAUUAAGCAAAAUUAACCGUUAGUGUAGCUGCCGCUCUCUAUACGCUAUCAACAACGUGUUUUCUUUUAUAAUUUGACUUCUUUCAUUAUGAAAGAGAGAAAGGAUGUACUACUGCUUACUACUAAUAACCUAAUAUUAGGUGAUUGAUGCCUUCGUUUGUCCCGUUAGCUAUUAUCAAGAGGAUUCAAGGAUUUUAUAAUGCAUAUUUGAUUUAAAGUUGAAAAUGUUGUGACAAACGUCUUAAUGUAAAUUCAAUUGAUAAAACAAAAUGAACAUAAAAGUAAAAAUCUUGAUCCGUUGAUAAAAUUAUUUUUGCAUCAAACAUAAUUUUACAACUGCAAACUAAACAUUCUCCUAAGUUGUAACACUUUUGGGAAAUUGGGUUUUGAACUAUAAAUUUUAGCUCUUCUAAAUGGAAAAUAAAAAAAAAUCCUAAUCAAUACCUAAAUCUGUAAGAAGGAAUGAAUAUUACAGAAGUUUAAAAAUCAAGUUGGAAUGCAUUGGAAUCAUGGUAAAGACGUAUUUAUACUCUAAUAAAUAAUGGUAAAAAAACAAAAUAAAAUUUCAAGACAAUCUAAUUCAUACAAUCCAAUUUUAUAAUCUUUCAUUCUCUUAUUCCCACUACUUUCCUCGAACCGAAAUAGCAGUGAUUAGUAUAACCCAAUAAAAUAUUUAUGCUAAAUUUAACUCCUCAAUUAGCAAUUUUAACACUGCACUUCCACAUUAUAAUAAAGUCAUUCUCCAUUUACAUGACUAGAAUAUGCUUAACAAACUUCAGAAAUACAGUAAAACUCACUCGUUUCAAAAAUCUCAACAGAUUUUAUUGCUCUUUGCUAACAAGUUCCUUGGAAACACAACUCUACCAUAAACCACAAAUAGAAUAAACACCUUAUGUUGAUAAUUCGUCCCUCUGGGAUCAUCUCACAUUAUAUUUAUAGAUAAAACUAUUUGACGAAGGCAAGACUAAAUAAAACCAGAACUCUAGAAUCAUAGUGGGUGGGAUGUAAUUAAUUUAUCAGGACCAUUGGAUCAACUACAUAAAAUCAAUCAUUCAGCACAUAAUUGAAUCAAGUUAGCCAAGUUCAAAGUAGUAACACAGUUGUUCUGUACAAAUAUUUUCUAUAUACAUAACUUGUCACUAAAUAAUUUCAUGUUGGAAUGCAAGUGAAAUCCAAAAGCACGGGUCAACUCCUUGAGCCAACCAUGGUGCUUGCAGCGGUUCCCAUGCUCGACACAGUUAGCCCACGAUCGUACAUACGCUGGAUUUCUUCCCUGUAUUCUGUAAGAGACUUGUCAGGUAUGGCUGGCGUAAGUUCAAUCACAUCUCCCAUCUUCAACUUGCUAUUGGGGUCACUAACAGGUUUGUGAUUCAGCCUUGGCCUCAACUCUUCCUUCAAUGGGAACCUAUAUGUUGUCAACCUAGAGCUUGCUCUCCCAGAUCUUUUCAACAAAUCCAAUACUGUUGAGUUUGCGCUAAAUUCUUGGACAGACAUCUGCACAUGCAUUCAAACACAAGCAGAAUUAAUACAAACGUUCAAAUGCGAUAAGAUGCUAAUGACAUUAAGCAACUUUGGUUGCACAAAAUGACGGUGCAUGCAUGCUCUAUUUUCCACAAUUUUAACACACUAUACCGUUGCACACCACAAUUAAAAAAUAAAAAAUCAAUUCCAAAGUAUGGUGAGAGUGAGAUAGUGACACUAGACAUGGUCAAGUUUUUUCCCACUUGGAGAGAAUCCAUUCCCCCCCCCAGAGCAUUUAAGAAACAGCCACUCUGUCCAGUUAGUUAAAUUAAAUUCCUUCACGAGUUUUAAGAUUCAGUAUGGGUUGAAGACUUGAAAACGUGAAACUCAAUAUUGCAUAAAUUACUAGCACAAACCUUAUCAUUCUCAAUCAUGAUAACAAACACAGGCCCAUUCUGACCACAAUCAGGCUUGUAAGAAUAUGGGCAAUCAUCAGCAUGGGAAGGGAACUUGCAUGGGGGAUUGACUGAAUCAGCAUAUCCAACAGAUGAACAAUCUCUACUCAUUGCUUCGCACUGCCAGGUGACAACCCAUCGAGCCCACUCAACCAUCUGAAGCACAAAUGAAGAAUGCUGACAAUCAUCUUCCUUGUAUCUCCAAUGAGCAGCAAAUCCAAAUUCUGCUUGUAAAUGCAUAUCUUUGGUCCGAAUUUGUACUUCAAGGGGAACCUUGCCUUCACCCAUCACAACAGUAUGCAGAGAUUGAUAUCUGUGAAUUAUGAAAACAAAAUCAGAUGAUAUAGAUAUGGCCACUUGAGAGUGUACACCACUACAACUGAGCCACAACAUACCCAUUGAACUUGGGACGACAUAUGUAAUCUUUCAGCUUUCCAGGCACCUCAGACCAUAAUCGAUGAACAACUGUCAAAGCUUUGUAACAGUCUUCUUCCUUGUCAACAAUCAAGCGCAGCCCAUAAAUGUCAUGGAUAUCAUCUAUGGUUAGUUUCUUCCUGCAUAGACACAUGAAUAAUUGAGAAAUUGAAGUGUACAAAUAGUACAGUUCGGCAUGUCAGGUAAAAAAACCCAAAUGGAAGAUAAGAAACAGAAGUUAAAAAAAAAAAAAAUAGCAACUAGAAGGAAUGGUAUAGCAUACUUUAACAUUUUGCAAUAAACGCUAUAUAAGCUCUUAUGCCGCCCAGAAAUGACAUUAUAAGAAAUGCCUUCAUCUUUAAGUGCUUCCUCUAAUCUCUCUAUUGCAGAAGUAAUCAUUGCAUCAUCAUACGAUUCCACAAGCUUGGAUGAAAGCUCCUCAUGGUGGCUUGGGUUGAGAUGCUUAAAACAUAAAUUUUCCAAUUGUUCCUUCCAAGUAGAAAUUCCCAAGCGAUUGGCCAAAGGUGCAAAAAUCUCCAAAGUCUCCUUAGCAAACCUCUGCCGCUUGGCCACUGGCAAUGCAUCUAGUGUCAUCAUAUUAUGCAACCGAUCUGCCAAUUUAAUGAGGACAGCUCUUGCAUCUGCCAUGCCAAGGAACAUAGUAUGCAACCGGUCUGCUUCAACUGACUUGCUAGCUGUAUUAUUUUCUCGAGCCAGCUUGCUUAAGUGACUCAAUUUAGAAACCUAAAAUGCCAUAUAACAAUUAGUUAGAAUAUUGGAAGGACCAAAGGGAAAAACUAUUCAAAAAAUCAGAAAUGCAUACGUGAAGACAUCAAUGGUUAUUAUAGUUAAGGAUUCCUAUAAAAAUGCAAAUCAAAUUUCAGCAACCAAAGCACAAGAGAUAAUAAAGCAUUAAAGCUGUUAUAGAAAGCUAAGUAAAUAUAAAUUACAGCACAAAUCUAUUGAAUUAGUAUUGUCAUUGCUUCCAUAUGUUAAUAACAAUAAACAUCAAGUUUGUAGAACCUCAAUACAGAAAAACUGUUCUCAAUUUAGAGACAAGACAACAACUUCCAAAAACCACUUAAUGAGGGAAAGGAAGAUGAAGAAAGAGCAAACAUAAGAUGAAUAGCCUACAGCUCCAAAAAGCAGAUUUUUACAAGAUCCUUUUCUUGCAUCUUACACUUUAACUUAGCAACCACAGGCUACUGUGGUUAUGCUUUAGCAAGAAAAGAAAAGAACUCUCCCUCCAAAUUAUAUCUAUGCAAAGGAUGAGCGUUAUUACUUAUUAAGUUAUUAUUAUGCUGUCACUUAUAAGACAACAUCCUAACUACAUCAACAAAACUGCUUUGUACAUUAUGACCUGAGACCAUUAUGGUGAGUUGAACCCAAGCAAGUCAACCAAAACUACUUUGUACAUCUAAACCCAUCCAAAACAUUCAACAACGCACACAUGAGCGCGCACACACACACACACAACUAUAUUUUCUCCAAGGUCAAUGCUCAUUAAAUUUUGAAAAAGUUCCAGCAGCCAAAUUACACUUGGCCAUAGCAUCUAACACUAGAUCUGAAGUGUAAAUUUCAGUUAAUAACUUCAAUAUUUGAAGACUCAUUCAAACGUUAAUCAUUAAAGUGAAAAUCGCAAGCAUCAAUUUCCAAUAUCUUUAACCACACACAUUCAUCAACCAACAACAGAAAAAGUUCCUCACCCCUUCAACCAAAUCAGCAACACCAGCGCCAAACAUCCCAACUAUAUAAUCAUAAGUCAGAAAAGCAUCAUCCAGAGAGUCAUGCAAGAGCCCCGCCGCCACAACAGUGGAAUUGGCACCAAUCAAAGCCAGCAACACGGCAGUCUCCAAACAAUGCUGCAAGUAAGGAUCCCCACUAGCCCGCAUCUGAAAAUAAAAAAAGAAAAAACCCACAUCAAGAUCACACCUUUGACCUUGCAAAUCCAAAGAAACACACACGAAAUAAGGUUAGUUUCAUAAUUCUAUCUACCUGCCCUCUGUGUGCUUUCUCGGCUUCACAAAAGGCCUUAAUGACAAACUCCUCACAGAAGAUCUUGUGCCUCAUUUGCGCCCCAAGAAGCAAUUUUUUAGCAUAGGGCUCAAAGUGAAACCCACCCUCCACGAAAUUAUCCUCCAAAUUGAAGGUCAACUCAUCAAUCAUAGCAGAAGAAUCACCAGCAUCUAAGUCAUAGUCCAAACAUGAAGACCCCAACGCAUUCCUCACAAACCCAUCAAACAAACCACUGGUCCCACCCCUGAAGCUUCUAAUACGGCUCGAAGAACCCGUGGAACUUCUACCACUACUACUACACGAAACAGGACCAUGAAACACCGACACGGGACUCUGAUCCCUCUUCCACGAAGAACCUGCGAAUUUGCUCGGAGAAUACGAGAAGGAACUGCUCAGUUCCUUCAUCUCGUCCUCCUCGCCGGAGAAGUUCGACGACAGCGGAGGCGCGUGCUUCACCGCCGGCGCAGGCGAAGAGAACAGGCAUGAGAGACCACCCAUCACCGGCUUCUGCGACGUCGACGGCGGCGCCGUCGACCCCGCCGGCGAAGAAGAUCGCGACCCCAAUUCGAAGUCGUAGCUAGCGUGGGCGUUGAUCUGGUGCGGCGUGGAACACACGCUGCUUGGUGGACUCGCGUACAAGGCUAUCGUAGAAACCGCCAUGAGAAAGAAAAAGAGGUCACGAAAUCACAAAUUAGGGUUUUCGAUUUUCGGAUUUUUCAAUCCCAGACUCGAACGAAACGGAAUAAUAAAUGGUGAAGUCACGGUUUUUCUAAUACCCUUUUGGAAAUCUAAGAGAAACAGAAUUAGAAUUUUUUUUAGGGGGGCACCCAAAUUGAGGAAAAGGGAAAACUCAACUCAAACAGAGGAAAAGUAUAUUUCCCUAUGUCUGUACAGAGAGAAUAAAAAAGAAUUGGAAAUGAAAAUUGAUUGAUUGAAGAAUUGAAGAAUUGGGGGAUUUAAUUUCUUUUUUUUUUUCUUUGUGUUGGAAAGGGUGCUGUAUAUUAUAUACAGAAAUUUUUUUUAUGAAGGGGGUUGAAGAAAAGAAGCCUAAACAGUAAGAAUUUACAAAAGGGGACCCUGGAAUUGAAUUUGAAGGUGAGAGAGUCAAAUACGCUUUGAAAAUGGAGGCAGGAGAGAGAAAGAGAAAAUAGGAAGGAGAGAGAGACGUUCGUUCUUCGGAGAUUUUCGUAGAGUUCGUCUUUCUGUGUUGUUUAUGUGAGGGGAAAUGGUUCAGCGACCAGGGAAGGGAGGAGGGUGAAAUGACGGUUUUGUCCUCGGAAGAUUAUGGGAAUGGCAAGGGGGUGUUUAAGAUAAGUUUUUGUUUAAUGUUGUCAGGGAUUUGGUUUUAGUUCGUUCAUUAACGUAAAUAACGUAAAGUAGAGAGAGACUGUUUGUUGCAAAAGAUAUUUUGUUUUUCUUUUUAUGCCCAAAUUGGCAUUGGUUGCGUUGCGGCCAACGUUGAAUCUAGACGGCUAUUGUGUUGAGAGAAACUCACGCCAUAAAUAGCGUGAAAAGUCUUUAUUUAUAUCGGAAUAAAAUAUCUUGAGAAAAUUUUUAAUAAUCUAAUAUUUAGUUCUUCAAAAUUAUGUGUUAUUACCAAUAUGUGAUAUACAUUAAAUAUAUGAUAAUAAAUUCGAUCAAUUUUAUAUGUAUAUGAAAAAAAUUCUUUUUUUCUAAUUAUAAGAUUAUUUUAGAAAUUUAUUUAUUUCUUUUUAUAAUUUUUUUUUUCUAAUUCAUAAAUACAUUAAUUAUUUUUUCUUAGAUAUCUUAUCACUACUUAAAUAUUCUUUAUUCAAAUAUUAAUGAGAAGCAACUAAGUUGAUAAAGAGAUAAAAAAAAAAGUAAUUUAAAAUGACAAUAUAAAUAUUUGACAAAUAUAAUACAAAAAUAUUAUAUUCAAUAAAGCAUUUAAACUAAUUUUUAACUUUUUUAUUAGCUUAAAAUCUUAUUUGAGUGUUUGAUAAAUAAUUUUAUUUUAGUAGUUUUUUAGACUAUGUUCGACAACAUAUUUUAGUUAGUUACAGACUUUUUUUACAAGUUGAAACAACUUAUUUGAUUGUUUACUAAACAAGUUUUUUUGAUAACUUUUAAUGCUUUAUAAGUAGCAUUUUUUUAAAACACUAGUUUCUAAUUUCUAACUUCUAGUUUUUAGUUUUUUUAUAUUUUCUUUCACCUUUAUUUUCAAUAUAUUUAUUCAUUUUUCUUGUUAUUUUUUUAAAUAAAAUAUGAUUUAAUUAUUUUUCUUUCAUUGUACACCUUUUAGGUACUUCAACUGUCAGUUUUAUGGAACACUUCUAAUUUAAAUAAGCUAAUUUUUUAGUUUUUUCACUUCCGGCUAUAUUAAGCAUAGCCUAAGUUAAGUUAUAUCCGGCAAGACUUUUCGGCUCGCUUCUAGCUAUUUUUCCUAACUAAAAACCUUGUUUAAUUAUUUGGUAAAGAAUCUUUUUUAGUAGUUGCUAUCAUUUUUUUUUUAAAUGCUACUUGGGCCAUGUUCAGCAAAGCGAGUUAAAAACUGAAAAACUAACUUAUUAAAUUAUAAUUAUUUGAUAAAACUAGUUGUUGAAAUAGUUGAAAAGUGUAAAAUAAUAAAAAAUAAAUAAAAAAUCGUGAUUUAUUUGGAAAAUAUAACAAGAAAGAUGAAUAAAUAUAUUGAAUAUAAAAAUCAAAGGAAAUAUAAAAAGUUAGAAACUACCUUUUUAGAAAAUAUUACUUUAAGUAGUGUUUCAAAAAUGCUAAAAGUUACUAAAAAAAAUUUGCUUACUGAACAAUCAAAUAAACUUUUCAACUAGUAAAAAAUGUUAAAAACUAGCUUAAAUGUCUUGUCAAGCAUAAUCUUAAAGUAGCAUUUUUUAAAAUGAUUGCUUCUAACUUCUAGUUCUUUAUAUUUUCUCUCACUUUUUAUCCUCAAUAUAUUUUUUUCAUUUUCCUUAUUAUCCUUUUUAAAUAAAUAAUAUUUUAUUAUUUUUCUGUCAUUUUAUAUUUUUCAACUACUUUAAUAACUAGUUUUAUCAAACACUUAUAAUAUAAUGAAUUAGUUUUUCAGCUAGUUUUGCCAGAGAUAGUCUUAGGUUGAAUGUUGAAAAAGUUAGUUAAAAGUUAAAAAAAUAGUUUCUUAAAUUAUAAGUGUUCAAUAAAUUAGUUAAUGAAGUAGCUUAAAAGUGUAAAAUGAUAAAAAAAAAUAAUUAAAUGAUGAUUUAUUUAAAAAAGAUAAAAAAAAAUGAAUAAAUAUAUCGAAUAUAAAAGUGAAAAAAAUAUAAAAAAUUAGAAGUUAGAAGAUGGUUACUAAAAAAAUUAUUUACCAAAUAACCAAAUGAGUUUUUCAAUUAGUAAAAAAAGUUAAAAACUAGCUAAAAUAUAUGGUGCAACAUAAUCUUAUUAGUUUCUAACAUUUUUUGAAACAUCAUUUGAAGUAGUAUUUUUUAAAAUGCAAGCUUUUAAUUUUUUUUAUAUUUUCUUCACUUUUUAUCCUUAAUAUAUUUAUCAAAUUUCUAUAUUACUUUUUUUAAAAAAAUAAAUUAUGGUUUUAUUAAUUUUUUUAAAAAAUCAUGGUUUUAAAAAAUAUAUUUACAAAAAACUUAUAAUUAAUAAGUUAGUUUUUCAGUUUCAAACUAUCAAUUUUUUUUAAUUUUUAACUAGUUUUUUAGAUAAUUUUAUCAAAUGUAACCCAACUAAACUAACUACUUUUAUUAAGAAGCGUAAAUUGGUUAAAAUAAUUUUAUAAUUAAGGACGGAGGAACAUAUUGAAAACCGUUAAUCCCUUAAAUAAAUCUUAAUCACUUAAAAAUUAAUUUUUAGUUUUUAGACGGAGGAAUAUUUUUGUUAAGAGAGAAAAUUAUGUAUUUACUCAUUAAAUCCGCAUCAUCACUUCGAUUUUUCAAAAAAAUUAUUAGCAGAUCCGUCUCUCAAAAAGUUAAUGUGUAUGUAUAUCUUUUUUCUAAACCUAAAUUCCCUCGCUACGAAAAUUCUUAACCUUGAGAAAAAUGUAUCUUUGAAUUUGUGCUUAGAUUGUGUUUGUUCUAAAAUACCACUAUAAAAAAUUGUUCAUGCAAAAGUCAAAUUUGAGAAUAAUAUCACAUUUUUAUUUUUGUUCAAGUUUUGAGGGAAAAAAAUAGGUACUGUUGAUUUUUAAGAAUGAAAAAUAUUUAUGUUUGUCUUAUUUCUAUGAUUUAAAAAAUGAAAAAAUAUGGAUACUUAUAUUUUCAUGGAAAUAGAAUUACCAUUACUUUUAUCUUUAGUUCAUUCUCGUACACUUAUUUUUUAUUUUUUAAUUAUUUUAAUUUUUUAAAAUUAUUAAAUAUCGAACAACAUGUUCAUAAGAUACUAGCUUUUAUACAAUAUUCUUUAAAAAAAAUUAUUCCUGAAAAUACAAUAUUAACAUUGAAACAAAUGUCCUCUUAGAAAUGAAGCAUUACCCUAUUUGGAGUAUUUUUUUUCUAUUACUAUUUUAUUUGUAAUACAAAUAAUUAAAAAAUAAUUAAUAUGUGCUAAAUAAUGUAACACAUAUUUUUAUCUAUAUUCAAAUACAACAAGCGGCAAUUAAUCUGCUUAUCUGUGCAAUAGAUGGAUUCUAACUUUAAAUCGCCAAUUAAAUAAUGGUUCUGGUUGUAUUCAAUCACGUGCAAAUGUGAAAACAUAUUGCGAUCCAAGAAAGGAAUAAAUAUAAAAUGUUAUUGUUGGGUGUGAUAAAAUGAAAAAAAAUAUUAUUGUUGGCAUUGGAAAAUAAAAUGAUCGCAAGAAGGUGCAAGUGGGGACAAUUUCAAGUCAAUAGAAUGGAUUACGCAAUUGAUAAUACAUACAUCCAAUCAAUUGCAACCCAAGUUCCUUAUAUAAUAUUUUUUAUAUGUUCGUACUUAUCCUCUUUCUCCUAGUCUUUAAUUGUUUAAUUACAUAUAACAGUGCCAAUCCUAAUCUAUAAAAAUAAAAUAGUUACAGAAAUAUAUUUUUUUAUAUGUACAUAAAUUUUGAUACUAUUUAGGAAAAUUUGGUACAUUUUCACGUUUUCAACUUUUUCAUGCUUAAUAUUUUUUUAUGUGAUUCAACAAGUUCCUAGUAUAUGUGUCCACCAUAUUUGUAGCUUAAUUGAUGCUGAUUUAAAACUUACAAAUAAUUUGAAUGCUUACUUUUCUUCAAACUAGAUUUCCUUCCUCUCUUUUAAUAUAUAAAAAAUAAAAUAAAUUCCUCAUGUACAAUGUGCAAUGUGUAAUAUAUAUAUAUAUAUAUAUAUAUAACUUGCAUGAUUGGAUCUCCAUCUGUUGACUUUUGGUGUGUGUCAAUCCGUCAAACUAUCAGCAAAUAAAGAGUGAGGUAUUAAGAGGCAAUAAUCAACAAAACAUCUUACACAUCCUAGUUGCUACUAUAACAAUGAUUCAGACAUAAGACGUCAAAAUGAAAAUGUCGGAAAAAUAAAUUAUAGUAGCAAUAUCAUAGUUUAAACGAUUUGUUUGUCUCCUCCGGACAACUAUUUUUCAACUUUCUUGGAUAUCUCAUAUACUGUAGUUUAUUUAUCUCAUAAAGUCUUUAGGAAUCUUCUUCUAGAUGAACUAAUUUAUGCUACUUAAAAAAUACAAUUAAUUUAAUUAAUGAUAUUGAAUUUGUUAAUUAAUAAUAUUAUAAUUUUGAAAUUAUUGUUUUUUAUCUCUCUUUAUUGAUUUUUAUUAAUAUUGUGAGAGAAAAUAAUUAAGUAAAAGUAUAUAUUAUAGGUAAAAAAUAAUAAUUAGUAUAUCGAAAAAUUAUGAAAGGGUCUUAUAAAAAAAAUAAAUUUUUGAAAAAAUCAAGACGGGGGAAGUAUGCGAUGGGAAAAAUUAAAAAUCUUAUAAUCAACAAUAAUGUUUCAAUUAGGCACAUCCAAUGAUUUUCUGAAAGAAACAACAAUUUAAAAACUUAAAACUUAAAAGAUAGUAUUCAAAUGAUUUAUUUUUUUCAAAAACAUUAUUUGAUCUCAUGCAUACUAGUUAAUAAUUUCAUGGGCUUAAGAGAAUGGAGUAGUGGUUGACUUGUUUAUCACACAUGGGGAAAUAUAACGUACCACCAUGAUAACAAUGAAAGGGGCUAGUGGCUAUAAGUUGAAAGUUAGUUAGUGCAAGUGUAAGAUUUGUCUAGAUGUUCACAGUGAAGGCUAAUGUUAAAAGGCCUCUCUAAUAGGGACAAGCUCACAAUUAAAAUUUUACUAUUAUCCAGAUACCAUUGACGAUUUUAAAUUUGUUGAUUUUGGGGUAAAUAUUAUCAAUGACCAUGAAAACUAAAUAACGUAUUAAAACUUUUAAUAAUUACAUAUUUAUAUAUAAAUAUUUAUGCAUAUGUUUAUAUUAACACUUCUUGACCAUAAUAAACUGUACAACUUUAAGUAAAUUUUACUUUUAAUAUUACGCGAUUCAAAUUUUUAAAUCUUCACCCUGGAAAAAGGUUGCACGUAACAAUCACUAUAAAGUCAAUACUCUAGCUACUUUAAUAAUUUUAUUUGAGAAAAUAUCUGAUUAAAAAAUGUGUAAUACAUAAUUCACCGACGCGUUAUUACUUACUUGUACAAUAUACAUUCUAGAAACGUAGUAUAAUGCAACAAUAACGUCUGAUUUGUCGUUAGUAAUUUCACCAAGUGGUUUGCAUAAACUUAAAUGAUUUUAUUUAUGGAAUAAAGUAUGAGUAAUAGAGAAAUAUGGUUAUAUAAGCGCAGAUGCGAUGAAUUAUAGUCUCAAUAUUUAGUUUUUAUAUAAAAGAUUAAAAUUUGAAUAUUAACCUUAUGUAUUAGAAUUGAAUUCCCAUUUGAUAGUUAUAUGCAGAGGAGGGGCAAUAGUGGAAAUUGGUUGGUGUAGAAGGAAAGUGUUGCGUGGAGAAGAUGUGUUGUGAAUAGUGAUGAGAUUGAGAGGACCACAUGGGUUUGUUUUGUUUAACUAAAACCAAGCUUAGGCACCCAAGUGGGCAAGUGUGUGUUUUUUUAUGUUAGAUUAAGUUUGGUGGUGGACACGUGGUCUUCACUGACGGCAUUGCCUUAAUUGAAUCUUCUACAUGGUUCUUCUUUGCAAUGCCCACUACUCACCCUCUUCUCUUCUAACUACAAGAUCAGAAAUUUCCCGUACGUUUUUUCAUGGUCAAACGCACCGCUAAAUGACAAAAUUAGACGUUUUAUGAGAACAAAAUAACAUCAAGAGUUCUAUGCCAAUUUUAUAACUCUCUCUUAGGGUGUGUUAACUUAAUUUUUUCCCAAAUAUAUACGUACUGUAGACUAGGUCCUUAAUUUGGUUGGAUCCAGAAUAUUCCGAGUUUUUUUUUUAGGAUCUCGACUUUCUCUUCCCAUAAAUUUUUUAUACUACAUCACUUUGCAGGUUAUAUCUCAAAAUGCAUGAGUUUUAAGCUUCAUUGAAAAGUCAAGAUUUGCCACCCGACUUUUGAAUGAUGUUUUCUUUUUAAUUUAAAUUUUGUUUUUAUUUUUAUAUUUAUACUUUAAUUUAAAUUAUUAAAAAUAUCUUAAAUAUCAUAUUAUAUAAAAAAAUUAAUUGUUUUUAAAAAUAAUUUUUAUUUGUUUAAGAAAAUGAUGUUAUUAAGUAUAAUUAUUGUUCUUAUAUUAUUUAAUUUAUAGAAGACUUAGUUAAUAAUAGACUUUGAUAAUAUUUAAUUUAUAUAAGACUUUUGAAGAAACUAAAACUCUCAAAUAACAAUUGAAAAUAAUAAAAUGAAUUUGAAACAUAACGAACAUAACAUAAUAAAAUAACAAUAACGCAAUGUAAUAACAAUAAUAAUUUCAUGAAAAUGACAAAAGUAAUCUUAGUUUAAAAGGUGUUAUACAACGAACAUGUCUUUUUUUAAUAGUUGAAUUAUUAAUUUGUUAAAAAUAGUUAAAAUUUAUAUUGGACAAAAACGUUGUCAGUAGUUAAAUUCUAUUAACAUCUUUAACACUUCUUUAUUGGUUAUCAACUCUAUUAUUUGAUACUCAAUUAAUUUUUCUGAAUAUUUUGUAUAAUCUGGUCGUCGAAAAAAUAAUUGUUUGACCAACUUUGAUUCAUGAAUUCCAUAAGAAGGAAACCCUAUAUGUGCAACUUGCUUAAUGACAUCCUUGAGUUUUUCCAUACUACAUGUAAAAGGAAUUUGAAAUCUUAUUAGGGGAUUUGUUUCAGUGAAUGAGUAAUCCAAAAAAUCUUCUUGUCAUGGUAUCUUCCACUUAUCAUCCUGAGUAAGAGUGAUCGUGGAUCGAAGUAGGUUGAGUAUGUCAUUUAUCUAUUCUUAGACAAAUAUUAUUGUUUAAAUAUUUUAUUUAUAAUAUAACGUAAUGUUUUUUUAUAAAUAAAUUAUUAAACAAAAAGUAUUAUCAUUUUUCAAAAAAAAUUUAAUGACAUAAACAAACAAAUUAUAUUCAGUAAAAUAAUAAUACAAGUUUUAAUUUUUUUAUUAAUACAAAAAUAAUAUUAAAAAAAUUUAGAUUUAAAAAAAAAUUAAAAUGUUAACUAAAAAGAAGUUUUGUAUAAAUUAUCAAACAAAGUAUAUUAUUAACUAAGUCUUGUAUAAAUUAAUAACAUCAUUUUCUUAAACAAAUAAAAAUUAUUUUUAAAAUCAAUUAAAAAUAUUUUUUAUAUGUUAUAAUAUUUAAAUUAAAACAUAAAUUUAAAAAUAAAAUAAAAUUUAAAUUAAAAAAAAUCACCCUUCAAAAGUCGGGAUGACAAAUCCCGACUUCUCAAUAAAACUUAAAACUCAUGCAUUUUAAGAUAUAACUUCAAAGUGGUGUGUAGUUUAAGAAUUUUAUGGAAAGAAAAUGUUUAAAUAGGUAAAAAACUGAAUAUUCCUCACAAUUGAAAAGUUAAGAUGUAAUGAUUUAAAUUGUUUUAGUAUUCUUUUUAUUAUUAUUAUAGGUAAUUAUUAUGUGUUUUGCUUCAGGAGGAAGGGAGCCUUAACAAAAACGUGCAAGCCAUACACAAGGGUGUGUGACACGGUGGACGUUACACUUUGCACUCACGCUACGCAUGCACUUAUUAUUAUUACUAUUAGUUGAUCGAAGAAGAUGGUGACUGUUGUGUUGAGUGUUCCACCACUCUUUAUAAUUUGUGCAAGUGUAAACUAGCACCAGUUAAAGACAAAGUAAUGGACAGCUGCGCUUAAAACUUUGACAAAUCCCUCUCAAGAAAAAAAAAACUUUGACAAAUCAUGUUCCUAUUUGAUUUCUAAAGGUUACUUCUUCUUAAGUCGUAACGGGUUACGCAGGUUCAUUUUUAUGUCGUUGCUAGAACCUUGUAAUUAAGAACUUGCAUUAAUUAAACGUGCGUGGUCUGCAGAACUGGUCCCGGUAUUUUAUCUAGCGGCCGAAAGAAAAAUUGUACAAUGCAAGUUUAUUGUAAAAUGCAGAAGUAAUCAUGUAUUUGUGAUUAUUUUUUUUGGAGAUUAUUUAUGAUUAAACUUUAGUAAAUUAAGAUCAUUUGUAUAGUUUCAAGUUUAAAGUAGAUCUGAUAAAUUGUAGAUGCACUUUUACAUUCAUAAUUUAUACAAAUAAUCUCGUUACAGAUCGAUGAGUAUUUUUUUUAUUUUUAUUAAUCCACGUUAUAGAUGAGUCUUAUCAUAAAAACAGUACGUCAAUAGAUUAUUGCAUGAGUUCGCGAUCGAAAAUAUAACAUAUGCUAAUAACUAAACAUAUACUAGGAUUAAAGUAUUGUUUUAAUUAUUUAGGAUAGUUAAGUAGUAUUGUCUUUUACUAAUAUUUGUAAUUUUGUUGUUUCUUUAACUUUUCAAAGGAUGAUACCAGAAUUUUAAAUUAUGAUAUCUUUUCUCAUUCUAAAUGAUACUUCAGUUAUAUUCAUUUCAUCAUUAAAUUAUAUAAGUGACUACUGUAUUUUUCAUCUACUUAUAAACACACUAUAUUGUUUUUGUAAACAUACAUGUUAUAUCAAAUUAGUCAUUUAACUUUACUUUUUUAUAUUAAAUUGAUCCUUAAAAUAACAUUAAAUAAGUCUUUGAAUAAUAUAAAUAGUUAUAUUAAUUGUCAUUGUAUGAUUAUUUUGAUGUAAUGCAAAAAAAAAAAAAAAAUCUAUCUAUUUCAAUGUAUAGUUCUAAAGUUCUUUUAGUAUGAUUGUUAUAUAAUACCUUCAAAAAAAGUUGAUUGUUACAUUGACAUUAUUUUCAGAACUUAUUUGACAAUGUUAAUUUUUUAAUAAAUAUAAAUACUAGUAUUAGAGCCUCUUCAAAACACAAGCAUACUGAUUUAUUAUAGACUAUCACAAACUGAAAUUAUUAUAUGAUACAAUUUAAGAAAAACUAAUUUUACAUUUUAUUAUAAAUUUAGAAUUUAUAAUUACAUUGUCUCUUACAAAAACAUUCAAAGAGAUAUACACAUUCAAAUCUGGUUAUAACUAUUAUAUUAUUUUUUCCAAAUAACUUUACAUGUGUGAUUUGCACAAAUCAUUUUGUAUUCUAAUCAAUUUGCAACGGCACGUUUAGUGUUUCCAUGUUUAGCAUUUGCCUAUGGUUGAGGCUGUUAAGUCUGCAAUCACAGCUUAAACAACAUAAAUUAAAAUCUAACUUAACAUGAUCAGGUACAUGAGUCUAAAUCAUCAUCAAAAUAUUUGUUAAUCGAAAGACAACAGGCAAACAAAAGAAAACAGUUCUAACUACAUAACUUCAUUUCUUCAGGUAAAAACUACUAACUUGCCAUCAAAUUUUCUCAACCUUAAUCUUUUUCUUCAGAACUUUGAGUGAUAAAUGCAUCUCUGGUUAACUCUGGACAGGUUCAACAUCCCUACCAAAACCAAGUGCCUUUCCUUUGAUGCUGGAAGUUUCAAUAGUUUAGUCUUUCUUUUCAAAAUAGCCACCUCCCAGUUGAUAUUAUUUGCACCUUCCAAAUUAGUUUGUAAUAAGCCCAAAUUUAGAAACAUUUGAAAUUCUGUCAAUGGUUUGAUUUACGGGUGUGUUUAAGGCUUGGUUUAUGCCAAAAAUGAUUUGUUAUGGGAUGCCUGAAUCCAAGAAGCAAAUAAUUGGAUGUCUGUCUGAGCCUUAUUUUCUUUUGGGUGCAGGAUCAUGCUAUUGUCAUUACUCUAGAGUUCUGUGUAACCAACAAACUAAAGGUCUCUCUAGAAACACAGGACGUUUGCAGCUUAUUGUUGCAAAUAUUUGAUAUGGCCUUGCAUUUGAAAUUUUCUGUUCUAUAAAUUUGUGACAUAAGACCUGAUUUAGGACGUGUGGAGAUUUUUUUCAAAGGAAACCAAAUCUUUAUUUAGUGGUAAUAUUAUUUUUCAUCCAUCUGUAGCACUUGUGUCUGAUUCCAUUGCCUUUUUGUUAUUUUUUCAAUAUUUUUGUCUUCUAAAGAAGUGCUAACUAACAUUUUUUUUUAUGGCUUGUGCAACAUUGGAGGGUCAUGGUACAGAAUUUCAUAGUGCCAAUCUUCUUUCACUAUGUAACUAGGUAUUAUCCUGUAUACGCCUGUUUAUUAGAAUAGUUUUGUGUUUGAAUGACAUUUUUUAAGUAAGUUUAAAUAUUCUAUUUAUUAAAAUAUACGCUAAUGUGGAUAACAUCAAUCUAUUUAAUAGAAUAUUAAUAUAAAUAAACUGUGAAUUAUUAAUAACACAAAAAUGUUACAUGUUUUAUAAAUCCGGGCGGCACGAAAUCUAGUUAAUGGGUUGUCAUGUCAAUCUUUGAAGUUUGAAGUAUUAAAAUCGAUUUGCAGUUUUGCAUUAUAUGUUGGUUCUCCAUAAUAGGUUAUGCAUCUGUUGAGAAAUUAAACUUUACAAGUUCAUUGCACAAAUCAGUUUUGUUUUGUUUUUAUUUUUUUUCUUACUUUCUUUUUCUUCUUCUUUUUGACAAAUGGGGGUGUGCAUUAAUGGCUCAAAGCCGAAGUUCAAAGGCGAUUUUAAAUAGGGAAAAACCUUUAAUUUAUUUUUUGAGAGGGGGAAAAACCUUAAUAAACCAAGCAACACCAUAUAACUAAUUUCAGAGGCUGCUAGUUUCAUUUUAUAAUUUCUUUUUGAAGAAAGUCACUUUUAAAAAUUUUCAUAUAUUUGUUUAAGUUUUUUUUUUACAAAAAAGUAUAAUUUUUUAAAGUUUUUUUAAAAAAUAUAAAUUUGAAAAAGAAAAGAAAACAGAUUUAUAAUUAUCUUGAGAGCCUUUUUUGAAGUAUUUUCUAAAAAAGAUAAUAUUAUAACCAAACAAAAUACAAUUUUUUAAAAAAUUUCAUAGUUUCUAAAAUAUAUGUUUUAAAAUAAAAUAAAAUAAAAUAAUUUUUUUCUAAUUAUAACCAACAAAAUAUAAUUUCUACUUUUCAUACAAGUUUUAAAACAAACUAUUAUUUUUAUAUAAAAAAAACUAGAAUCAAUGGGUUCUUAAUAAGUUAGCGUGCCCAGUGUAUGCUAUGUCUCUUUUUUGUUUUUGGACUUCAUAUAAUUAAGGAACGGGCUACAAAAGCCCAAAAAUAACAAUAGACACCUAAGAAGUGGCCCAACAGUACAAAAAGAGACAGCAAUUCAAACAACAGCCGAAGUCUAAAGCUACGGACAAAGUAAAUAACAAGAUUUGAAAAAACCCAAAUACUUUACUGUCUAAUACGCCUAAAAUAUACUCUUAUUACUUUAUAUUUUAGACUAUAUUCAAUUUGGUCCUUUUAAGUUUUAAAUAAUUUAAUUUAAUCUUUUAUGUUUUUGAAGUGAAUCAAAAUAGUAUUUUUGAAACAAUGAUCAUUUUUAAUUUUGAAAAAUAAUUUUAGAUCCUAUUGUGAUUGAUUCAAGACGUAAAGCUUGUCUCAUUUCCAUGUUACCAUGAAUAUGAAAUCUAUUGAAUUCAAUUGACAUUUGAAUGAAAAAAAAUGAUAAAUAUCUUAAAAAUUAUGUGACAAGUGAAUUCAACAACCAAUCAAAAAAUUGAAAAAAUCUAAUGUAACAUUCUUUUUUUUUUUUAUCCUAACACUCAUUUUUCACCAUGUGUUGGUCCCUUUUUAUAUGAAUAUUUUCGGCUUCCAUAAUUACCAUGUAAGUAAAUAUAGUGCAACAAAUUUUACGUCUCAAAUUAGUUAAAAAAGAGUUUAAAAUUACCUUCCAAAAUAAAUAAAAAUUAUUGUUUUAGAAUGACCAUUUUGAAUUUCCUUAAAAACAUAAAAAACUAAAUUCAACUUUAAAACAUAAAAGGCUCAGUUUAUUUUAGCCAUUUAGAUCUGAACCAAAAAGUUAAACCACAAAAUUAAUCCCAAAAAUCCAAAAAACAAUAUACUCUUUUGUAGUUUGUUUUGGUUUUUGGCUCUUGUUAAGUUAAAAUCAUCUUUUAGAGAAGUGAGUUUCUAUAAAUUAAUCUUAACUUAUAAAAAAACUUAAUUUAUUUUACCUUUUUGUGUUCUUAUCCUAUAAAUUUUUAUUAGAUAUUUUACUCAAACAAAACCUACCUUAAUGAAGUCAAAAUGGGAAACAGACCCAAAUGUCUGUCCAUUGGACAUUUCUUUUAUUGGGACCUGGACUUCUCAGGUUAUUGGAGGUCCAAAAACUUGGAAGGAAUUGCUAGGGACACCUAGCGUUUUGCUGGUACACCACCAGCAGAAGAUGUGCAAUUCCAAUUUUACCCUUUUGUAAGCCUGAUAUGGAUUGCCAAUCCGUAUGGGCCUACAGAUUGUCAAUCCAUAUUGGGCGUACGGAUGGGCCUAUAGAAAUCAAAUUUGUGUCUUCCGCAUUAUUAAUAGAACACACAAAUCAACUGACCUCAUAGACACAUUAUGUUAUAAAUCCCAUAGUGUCGUUAUAUAUAAUUUAUAUAAAUUAUUAGAUAAAAAAUAAUCAUCACAAAUAGAUGAUUUUUAUUUCCAAUUUUUUACAUAUGUAAAUACUUAUUAAACCUAUGAUUUUUAUUUAUAAUUUAUAUACAUAAACAAAUUAAUUAUUAGAUAAAAAAUAAUCAUCACAAAAUUUAUUAUGUAAAUUAACAUGUACGUUAAAUAUAAAUUAGAAAUUUUAGUGCUAUAUAUUGAGACACUAUUUAUUUAUAACAUAAUAUGUUUAUUAAAUCAAUUUGUAGAGUGUUCUAUUAANNNNNNNNNNNNNNNNNNNNNNNNNNNNNNNNNNNNNNNNNNNNNNNNNNNNNNNNNNNNNNNNNNNNNNNNNNNNNNNNNNNNNNNNNNNNNNNNNNNNUUUAAAAAAAUCCUAUGGAUCACGUAUGGCAAUCCGUAGGCUUGAUAUAGAUUGACAAUCCAUAUCAGGCUUACAAAAGGGUAAAAUUGGAAUUGCACAUCUUCUGCUGGGUGUACCAGCAAAAUCCUGGGUGUCCCUAGCAAUUCCCAAACUUGGACCCCUUGAUGUAAAAGAGAAGUUUGGGGCUGGCAAUUGUGUUCUCUCUUAAAUCUUAAUGGUUACUUGUAAAAAAAAAAAUUGACAGAAACUUGUAAAAGUUAUACACCGAAAGGAGAAUUAUUUACUAAACAAAUUGGAAUAUAAGAAUGAAUAUUUGUUUGUAAAAUUUUGUAAGAAUGAUCCGUGGGUCCAAAUAGAAAGAAUUGUUAAUAUUAUUAAUGAAUAAUGUUAAUAGAGUUAAAAUAUGAGAAAUUAAUUUAUAUAUAAAUAUUUAUAAAUAUAAACAUGCACGCUGUUAAAAUUAACAUUAGCAUUUGUAAGAAGUAUGUAUUUGAUUUUUUUAAUUAAAAAAGUGCUUCUUUUUUAAAUACGAAAAUGAGAAUAAAUACUUAUCAUAGCUUACAGAAAAGGCAUUUUCCCAUUUCCGACAUGCUUCUGUUUACUUUUCGCUCCCCCCCAAAAAAAAAGCGUUUGUGCCAGUUAGAAUUCAAACAAGUAUAUAGAAGCGUGUUUUCUAGUGGGUUAGUCUUAAUUUGGACCUAGUCUCCACUCGUGGUUCCAUGCAAAAACAUGGUUUCAUAUUUUCACUUUAUUUUACUGUACAAAACAUAAAUGGAAUGGUUUCAUUGGGGGGAUCCUACUCAAAUGUGUAUUUUAAUUUUUUCUUUUCAUAUCAAUAAAUUGUUAAUUGUUAGUUUUUUACUUUUCUCUUAUUCUUUUUUCCUUGUACCACUCAACUAACCUUAUAAUUCCAAUGACUCAAACGUUUAUUUACCAGCUAUAUAGGUUUGAAACAUUAAUUUGAUUUUGUUUCUUUGUCAAUAUGGUGGUUUAUUAAAAUCACUUUUUACUUAUAAAAAUAUAGUUGCAUGAAACAUUUGCUCUAAUACAAUUGUUGAAAAAUACACACAUUUUUUCAUGCCCAAUGACAAGAGAACACAUGAGACAUAAUGUGACUCAAUCUUUCAUGCCUAUAUCCACAAUCAUAUUAAUUAGUUAAUUUUUCUUGACAAAUUUAAUAAAUCUUUCAUUCACAUUAUCUUUUCUCACUUUUAGGGUGUUGGGCUAAUUUUUAAAAUAGGUAAUUCUUCUCAUUUCAAGAAUCAUUAUUUAUAUGUCUAACAUCUCAAAAGAGAAAAAUAAAUUCCUAAAAUAAAUAUAAUAUUUUUAAAUAUAAAGAACAUCUUAAAUAUUGAAUAACAUCCUAAAGAUUUAAAAUCAGAAAUUUAAAUUGUUUUUCCAACUAUAAUACCCAUCCUGUUGACAUUUAUACUAAAAUACUCAUUAAAAUUAGAUCUAUUUUAGAAACGGAGUGGGAAGUUUGUAUUCAUCAUGUUUCGUGGCACUAUAAUGUGGUUGCAAAUGGAUCAAACUUACAAAUUUGAGCUUCCUUCGUUGUGGGUUGAUGAAAAUAUAAAAGGAACUUCAAGUUGAAAUUAAUUAAACACACCAGAUUUAAGUUAAGAAAAUUAUGUGCAAAAUAUCGCUAUAUAAAAUGGAACUUCACUCAGCUAGCCGUAUCUAAAAUCAAACUACAAAUUCACAUAUUUUAAUUCAAUUCAUCGCACAAAUUGUGUUACAUUUAGUUUCAUGAAUUGAGUUGAUAAGGACAAAAUACUAAAUUUAUAAUUUAUGAGUUAUCUUUUGGUCUUGGAUCAAAUAAAAGUGUCUUUUAACCCAUUGAGUUAGUAACUAAUCUUACUUAUAAUUCACUGUUUACACACAAAGACGUACUAUCAAAUAUAAUCUUUUUCUUUAAAUAAAUUAUUCUUUUACCUGUAAAUACAACAAAAUUACAAUGUGUCAACCCUGUUAGUUACCAUUUAUGAAUUAUUUACGGGUUAAAAAGAUCCCAAUUCGUAUAAAUCCGAUUAAGUUGACAGACAUUUAUUUUUUAUGGAAGUAUAGUCAUGAUUUAGGGCCAAAGGACCACUUUUCCAAAAAGAAAAGUAAGGAACUUACUUACCCGGGUGCACCUUGCACAAGAGCCAUGCAUGACUUUCCAUAUCCCAAACCAAGCGAGACGCAAAGGCUACGUACAACCAACCCUUAUUCCUUCAUUUCCCACACAAUAUUUCAACUAACCUUUUCCCUUGCAUCCUAGACUCUUCUUGAUGGUCCUUCGCUUCAACGCACAACAAUGGCAACUGUUUUGAAGUCAAGCUACAAGAACCAAUAUUGGUUUAAAGUGGCAUAUAUAUAUGACUUGUUAUGUUACUUUUGGAAGCUAAUGUUUGUUUUAGUUAAAAUGUGCAAAAUAACUUGUAUAUAUACUUGAAGAUUUCUACUCCACCCAACCCACUCAUGUGCCAUUUUCGUUGGGUAUUUUUGUUGGUUUUUCUUUUCGUUGUUUUAACAAUUAGUACACUACUUUAAUACAAGUUGGGUGCAAAAAUAUUCUAAAUUCACGAACAUAACCACCGGCGGACGCCGCCAUUUUGAACAACAGUUUUGAUUGAGUUUAGGAUUUUUUGGGGUAGGUGAUUCAGUUUAGGAUUCAUCAUAUAUAACUAAUCGUAUAAUUGAAUAAUAUCCACCAAAACAAAAUAUAAUUCAAUAAUAAUACUCGACAUAUUAUAUUAUUCACGUCAUUCUCUUUAGAUAGUGUAUGGGACAAUGUUUACAUGCAACUUCAUCAACACCUAAACAGCCUAAAUUUUAGACAUCCUUAAUUUUUUUUAAUCUAGGAUAUCCUCGACUAAAAAUUAGAUUAUAUCUUUUGAGACACUAAACAGCAUUUCAUAUAGUACAUCAAAAUAUUUAAUUUUUUUUAUAGAUAUUCGUAAAAGUAUCAACAAUAGAGACUAGAGAACAAUAUCUCAUUAAAUAUGAGUCUAGCUUAAAAAAUAUCAACAAUAGAUAAAAUUAAGUAAUUAAUGUGUGAAUUUAUGGUAAUUUAAACAGGUAUAGAUUCUCUAGUAUACUCCCUCUAUCAUAUACAUACGCAUUAUUUAAUAUAUUAAAUUUAAAAUAUUAUAUUUAUACAAUAAACAAAUUGAGUAGAUGGCAAAUUAUAGUUUUUAUACAUAUAGUGUAAUCUUGUUUCAAAACUCUAUGUCCUAGCUAUUGUCCUAAUUUUUCCAUAUAACGUCUUAGUUUAUAUUCGUCUAAUUUCAGAAGCAAAUCGAUAGUUUUAAAAUAUAACCCCCUAAUAUUUUUAUUAAUUAACACUCUGUAUUUUGUUAAUUUUUCAUAAUUACUUUUGUUUUAAUUAAAAUAGUAUUUUUAGUUUAUUGCAUUAAUUAGUUUGUAAGAAAGAAAGUAUAUCUGAUUUAAUAGAAAUUUGAGUAUAGGGUAAUGUAUGGAUAUACAAGUACUUAUAACCACUCUUAACUAUACAUGAAAAUGUAUGAUAUCAUGCACUAUGUAAAGUCCACGCAUUAUUAUCCUUGAAAUGUCUGGGAUCCUUCGUAAAUCAUAAUCUUGACUACUAUAUACUAAUUAAUAUUUAUUAUGAAUAAUGUAUUGUUGUCCAAAAGGACGACGCCGUCUGAACCUUGGAAUGAGUUUGCCCCGCUUAAGAAAACCCACUCCAUUUCAAAAAUCCAACAAUCAUCCACAGUUCAGCUGAUGCUUAGUAGCUUACCAAGUUUCACUUUAUAAGACCUAUAAAAUAAUAAAAAACAGAAGAUGUACUCAAAUUAUGAUACUAUAUUCAAUAAUUUAUAAUAUCAUGAUCAAGCUUUGUACUAUGGUUUUAUGACAAGUGUGACAUAAAUAUUAAUAUACUAACCUAUAUAUUAUAAUUAAGAACAAUAUUGACUUUGAAAAAAGAUGAAAUAAAAUAAAUUUCUUGGUAGAAAAGAGAAGGGGGAGGGGGGGGGGAGGGUGAAGAAAAGUUUAAAAAGGAGUAAAAGAAAGGGGAAAUAAAGAAAAGAAUAGAAGAAGCAAGAAUGCAAAAUAUAGAAGUAAUUACACACACAAAGACAAUGUAUAAUGGGAACCGUUUAAUUCAUUUAAGGUCAGUCAAGUUCUUGAGAGACUAACUUUAAGGUCAGUUGUGUCCUGUUUAACUAUACGUAUCUUAAAGUUAAAAAAUUACUCAAUUGAAAGGUGAUAUUGGUUUUAGAUUACUUAGUUUUCUGUUAAAUUUGGUUAGAGUUUUUAUAUUUGACUGAAAAUAAUGAUUUUGGACAUUAUAUUUUUAAUAAUCGGCAAAUUCCACCUUUUAUCCUAAUACCACAAGUAGCGUAUAUCGGGGGAAAAAAUCACACGUAGCAUAAGAAUUAUCGAAAUUCAGGCAUUAUAAAAAAGUAAAUAAAUAAUUGUUUUUAAAAGUACAGAAAUUAAGAACAAUUUUGAUAAAAUUUGAAUGAUUUAAAACAUAUUUUACAUUAUAAAAUAUUAAUGCAUCAAAUUGUUUUCUAUCAGAAGUUAAAAAGAAAAGAAAAUAAAAACUAUAUAGAUAAAUAUUGUACUGCAAAUAUUUUCUUCUUUUGUGCCGAAUUUAUAUUUACGUUUCUCAUUAUGCUUGCCAGUAGUUAUUCAUUCUUAAUCUUUUUUCUUCCACGUUCGUAGGUUAUCAAACACUCAAUUAUUUUUCCGAUUAAUUUUAAGCUCUAAUUUUCACUACAAAUUAACCAUUUUAUAACCCGUUUUUGAGAGCCACAAAUGAAUUCUUUUGUUUCUCUUCUCUUUUGUCAUUUCUUCCACAAAAACGUACUACGGUAAAAUCAUACCAAAGAAUUUUGUGAGAAAUACACAAGACUUGGUCAUCGUAAUAAUGCUUUCCAUUUCAUGGCUGUGGUGUGGGCCUAUAGCUCAGAACUCAUUCAAACAACAAUUAUUGACCAAAACUCAAAAAAGUGAAGUAUUUAAAAGUUAAUGGCCUACUAAAAAACGAGUUGACCCUUCUCAGCCGAAACUCUAUGAACUCCUAGUGUGUGUGGCACGCAUACCAUACUUUAAGAAGAGAAUAGUAAAACUAUAAUUUAAAUUUACAAAAAAAAAGUAAAUAUAAAAAGUAAUUUGAAUGUGAAUCCUUUCAAAUUCAUUUUAAAGAAGAGAGAAAUGUUGUUUUGAACUAUUUUGAGUGUUUUUUAAGUUGUAUUUUAUUAGUAUUAUUCUUGUUUAUUCGUGUAUUAUUAUGCUUUAUUCACCAUUCCGAGCCGCAACUCUAACUUUUGUUUUUGAGAAAAAUCUAACGUAUUUUCUUAAAAAAAAUGAAGAUGAAAAAUUAUGAAUGAUUAAAUUGAUGUAACAAGAAAAUAAAAUGAAUGAUUAAAUUGACCGUCUCAAACUGUUAUGUAACGCUUUUGCUUUUGCUUCUUUUUUUUUUUUUUAAGGAAGUAACACUUUUGCUAUUAAAUGUUCUUUCCGCGUUUAUCUGUUGUUUUCCUUUUUCGUUACACAUGGAAAGGAAGCUCUUGAGAGGGAAAUAAAUCACUUGAGUUUUUCCCAUCUUUUUUCUCCCUUAACUGUCCAUUAAGUCGUGAAUAAAAAUGUAAUCUGUUUUCACUCUGCCGACCUCAUAUGUAUAGUGAUGGUCUAAUCCCAAGUGACAUACUUUUUGUGCAUCAUGAUUUGUGAAUUUUCUUUUUCUUCUUUGACCUUAUGAAAUUCUAAGCAAUAGCAAAAGAAAAAUUAGGCAUUCAGAGCAAGGAACCUUUUAGAAGUGUAGAAUCAGUAUUUGGAAUUUAAUCCCAUCGUUAUCAGAGACUAGAGGCUAGAGUAAUUUCUUAUUACACAACCUACGUAAUAAAAUUUAAAGAAAAAUAUAUAUUUUUUUGGAAUUUUUUCUACGUAUUGUUUCUUUUUUAUUAUUUAUAAACAUUUAUUAUACAAAUUAUCGUUUUAAUAAAAUUUAGAUUUUUAUGAAAUAUUAUAAAUUUCGAAACUUUUGAUAAGAAAUAAACAAGUUUCAAUUUGUAUUAAUAGAAAAAACAAUUUCAAUUUGUUAGAACUAUAAUUCUUUUAGACAAUCAUUACGAAGUAAAUUUAAGGAGGCGUCUAGGAGGAAAAACGUUUUUUUAUAUCCGGAAAUACUAAGAAUUAUGUUUAUUGAAAAUGAGUAAAAUCUAUUUGGUUGUUGAUAGAAAAUAUUUAGAUAAGUUUUAUAGGAAUUGAAGAGUUAUAUGAUAUUUUUUAUCAAUUAUUUUAAUUAUUUAUCAUAUUAAUAAAAAUAACAUAAUAGGUUAACUGCCUUAAAAGAAAAAUUAAACUUAAAAAAAGAAAAUUCUCACUUGUGAGAAAGUUUUGACGAGAAACUUGUUAAAAAAUAUUCUUCGAAAAUAUUAUUUUUAAGGAAUCUUAUUUUUUUUAAAACCAAAUAACAAACAUGAAAAACUAACAUUCAUUCCAAAAAACUCGAAACUUCUCUUUUAACAAAGUCUUAUUGAAAUCAUUUUAAAUCAAAAGAGAUAAAAUUAAUUUUCAUAUUUAAAACAAAAUAGUAAAAUUAAUAAACUAAUGACUAUAAUAAUAUUACUCUUAACAUGUGCAUGUUUGUGCUAGCUAAAUCCUGUUAUUAAUAUAUAAUAUUUUUUUAAUUAAUUAUUGAUAUAACAAUGUAAGAUGAUAUUUUUAAAGCUACAUUCACGGGUCUGGACUUUUUUUAAGUAAGACACUAAAUAUUUUAUUCUUGAAAUUGGCAAAAAUCAUUAGACAAAUGUGUCAUUGGAAAAGAAGACUCCAUAAAAAUAUUCAACCAAUUUUUUUGAUAAAACUUACUAAUUGAUAAAUAAAAUUAGUUGAUAUUUUGCAUGGUAAAAAAAGAAACCGAGAAAGAGAUAAUUUAUUUACUGCUUAUCCUCUAUUCAGAAAAUAUCCAAAUAAGUAAAAGCUAAUUUAAUUAGAAAAUCAGCUUCUUUUCUUAAAAAGGGCAUGGAUUGAUGCCAUAUUAAAUUCAUUUUUUAAUAUAGAUUUCUAUCAAUUGAUAUAAUAAUAUAAUAUUUUAUCUCUCUCUCUUCCUUUCUUGUAAAAACAUAGGUUUCUCCUAAUUUAUUAGAUAGAUCGUGAUUUAUUAUUUGAGGGAGGGUUGAGUAAAGUUAAACAUACUUAGAAUUUGAAGUACAAUAUCACUUAAGUUCAGGGAAUAUAUAAAUGCAACUUGCCCUUAAAAAUUUACACUAAUCAUUGCUCCAAAUGAGCUUCUAUAUAUUUAAGUUUUGUAUUUACAAACCAAUCGUGUCUUUAGGGAACAUAUAGAGUAUGCCUAAACAUUAAAAACAUUUCAAGCAAUUUACAAUGAUAGCCAUUUUCUCAAACAUGUCCCCUAGCAAACCCCUAAAUCCUUAAAGUUAAAUAUAUAGAUUUUCUAUUGAGCUUCUUUCCUAAAGUUUCACCUUGAUCACCAAAUCUGAUUCACUUUUGUUCCUCUGACCAGACCAGAAAAGGAAAUUAAAGCUGCUUUAUUAAACCCCAUCAUAAUUCCCUUUCCAUGUGGCCCCCAAAAAAUGGGCACAUACAAUAGAAACCUAGGAAAUUGCCAAGAACCGAGACACGAUAGAGUACUGAAUCACCUUAAUUAUUAUCCCCAAAAGACCAGCACACGAUGAAACUACAAAGAAAUAGCUGUUUAGAAUGAGGUCAGUCAUUAGCAACAUGACUAGAAAGUGACAUAGCUUCUCUAACAACUUCGUUUUAUGGUCUGAACAUCCAGAACUACUUGUGCUGUCAACAUUCAAAGUCAAUUAGGAUAUAUGGGACCACAUACGUCUAUAAACGAAAUGAUCUUGGAAGCCAAUAACUUGAACAAGUGCUACGUGAUUUCCAUAUUUUAAUUAACAAAUUUUAUUGGGAUAAAACCUGGUUGCUUACAGCUUGUUCUUGCCCCAGUUUCCAAAAUUCUCCUCUAAAUAUAUCUACCUUAUCUAUCACCAAGUGGGGUGUAUUUGUGAAUGAAAAUAUAGAUUACGCCUGUAAAAUAAUUUUAUACUAUUGAUUUUUACAAAAAUUACAUUAAAAAUCACAUUAAUGAUAAUUUUUAUUGAUUAGUGGGAUAAAAAAAUCUAUACUAAUAAUACAUAACCAUUAAAUUCUUUGUGAAUAAUAUUUAAUUUGAUGCAAGUAGUAUGAAAUACCAGGUUCAGCCACGGUAACAACAAUGGUUUCUGUAUUCUUUAAGAUGGCUCAACUGUAUAUAUUGUUUAUUUUCAGUACUCCAACAAAGUACACCGGGGAAUAAUUAAAUAAAUGCAGUUUCCUUCCAUGGAUUUUAAAAGGUUGGCAGGUAGAAACCACUAAAUAGCAAGGAAGUUCUAAUUAAUGCCUCAAAAUAGUAGCUGGUGUGUUUAGUGAUGUGAAUCGGGCUCAGCGAGCUUCAGCAGUAGGUAUCCCGUAUUCGUCUUAAUAGACAUACAUGUUUUCUUUGACAUGCCUCAAAAAUAUUUAUGGAUAUGAACUAACAGAAUUUAUAUUUUAUUUUAAUUUUAUAUAUUUUAUUAUUGUGUAAUAUCUGAAUUUGAGUAAACUUCAAGAGUGUAUAUUAUUAGGGAAAUGAUUUUUGAACAAAAGUGGGCAACAAACUGUUCUCCCUUUUGAUUUUGGAAUUGAAUUUUUAAUAUGUGCAUAUAAAAAGGAUAAAAAGAAAAGAAAUAGAGAUAACUAUAUAUAGAUUAUAGUCUCAAUUUUUUAAGUUUAAAUAAUGAAAUUGAUAUUGUUAGCAUGCCUCAUCUCUACUAGAAAGCAUAACUCAAAAUACUCUUUACAAAACUUAAGCAAUUCUCCUUAUAAAUGAAUCACACUUGACUACAAAAUCAAACUUACAAAAGGACGAUUGUUGAAAUUUUAUAAGGAAUCUUUUACUCAUAUUUUGCCUAGAAUGGGGCUUCUGAAUAAAAUUUUAUAAGCCAUGGUAAGAGUACAAUAUUUGUGAAAGCUUAUAACUGAUAGCUUAAAAAUAAGAUUCUUGAUACCUGUGCAUGUUCAUAGACAUAUAUAGACAUAUCGUAGUAAAAAUAUUAGAAGAGUGUACAGUGCAACUGAAAAUGAAUCAAGGUUGACGGCUUGGCUCGGCAUCUUUGGAAUCACUUGUUCUACGGUAUCUAGAAUUUGGUCUGAUUUGAUUUGGUGAAGAAACAAGCCAUCAGGAUUAUUAUUGAAGAAGCUUCUUGGGUGUUGUUAUUAUCAUCCACAAAAUUAAAUCAAUUAACUAUUUCUAAUUUCCAUCACAUGGAUGGAGUCCCUUAAUAAAUGUUUUAUAGCACAAGGGAGAAAAACCAUUGAAAUCAAAAUCAAGUCCCUUAAUACCGUUUACAUUUCUUUAGAAAAGUGGAUAGGUAUUACUAAUACUUUAUAAUAUAAGCCAAAGUCCUGCACCAAAUGACAUAAGAUAGAUUUGAUCGAUUAGCCUGGCCUACACGGGAGAAAAAAAAAAUACAAUGAUAAUGAAAUGAAAUGUGGUAGGUUACUUUAUGAAAGUCUUUCAAAAAAAAAUUACCCCCCAAACCUUUAAGCCUCGGUCUUAUGAACCUAUAAAAGCAGAACCAUCUAACUUGAUUUUAGCAUCAAUUAAUAAAACUAUUCAACUCACUUAAGCCUGCACAAAAACAACUUAAUAGAAGAUGCCUUCCAAGAGGCUUCAAUGGAGAUCCUUAGUACUUGGUUGUUUCAAGGCCACCAAGAACCAAUCCUUGGAAUCUCCAAACAUAGUUUCCAAGAAAUCAUCUUCAAGUAGAAUCUUCCUUUCUGAUUUAAGCCUAAGCGAUUAUUCAUCAGUUUCUAUCAUGAGUGAUUUGUCCAAUUCUCUCGUGGGAUCAAAUCUUCGUAUUUUCACCUACCAAGAGCUCUCUGAGGUUACACACAACUUCAGCAAAUCCAACUAUCUUGGGGAAGGUGGGUUUGGGAAGGUGUAUAAAGGAUUUAUUGAUGACAAUCUUAAACGUGGAUUGAAAGCUCAGACUGUGGCAGUUAAGGCCUUAAACUUGGAUGGAAAACAAGGCCACAGAGAGUGGUUGGUAAGAAUCUGCUGAACCAUUCAAAUUUCAAUAUCACUAAUCCAUAUUAAUUCCUCUGUCUUUCAAGUGAUGAAUUUGACUGAUUCAUUUUUUUUUUGUACUACAUAGGCUGAAGUAAUCUUUCUGGGGCAAUUGAAACAUCGCCAUCUGGUUAACUUAAUUGGCUACUGCUGUGAAGAUGAGCAUAGGCUUCUUGUGUAUGAGUACAUGGAGAGGGGCAAUCUAGAGGAAAAGCUUUUCAAAGGUACACAUCAUACAUGCAUGCCUUUGCUCUCAUUAUGAAAGAAAAAGGGGAAAACAAGAAGUGAAACAAAACAACACUUAGAACAUACAAUUGUUGCUUCAAUGAUGUCUUACAAAAGGGUUACCCUUCUAAAAUGCAGGUUAUUUAGCAGCCUUGCCUUGGCUAACAAGAAUCAAAAUAGCAAUUGGGGCCGCAAAGGGACUUAUGUUUCUUCAUGAAGAAGAGAAACCAGUCAUAUAUAGAGAUAUCAAGGCCUCAAACAUUCUAUUAGACUCUGUAAGUCCUCACUUGCCUUUUUGUUCACUCAAUCAUAUCUGUUAAACUAAUUAGAAUUUACACAGAUUGACAUAUAGACACUCAUUUUCUUCAGGAUUACAAUCCCAAGCUCUCUGAUUUCGGUUUAGCAAUAGAUGGACCGGAAAAAGACCAAACACAUAUCACGACUCAUGUGAUGGGUACACAUGGUUAUGCUGCCCCUGAGUACAUCAUGACAGGUAUUGUAUUCCAUUUCAAACCAACCUCUUUGAUUUCAUUAAUUGAAACCAAGCUUUAAAAUUGCGGUCACAUUGACUCCAAAAACUUUAAUGUUGUGGCCGCUGAAAUCAUGAUCACAGACAGUUUUAUAAAACCUUGAUCAAAACCUUCAAUCAAUUGAUUGUACUAAUACCUUCUUUUUUUUUCUUCAUUAGGCCAUUUGACAACCAUGAGUGAUGUAUAUAGCUUUGGAGUUGUUCUCCUAGAGCUCCUCACAGGAAAGAAGUCUGUGGACAAGAAAAGACCCACCAGAGAGCAGGAUUUGGUGGAAUGGGCAAGGCCAUUGUUGAAGGAUUCCCAUAAACUAGAAAGAAUAAUGGACACAAGACUUGAGGAUCAGUACUCAACUGAAGGGGCUAGAAAAUUUGCAGCCUUGGCUUAUCAAUGUCUUAGCCAUCAUGCAAAGGCUAGACCCACCAUGAGAACCGUGGUUAGGACCUUAGAGCCUCUAUUGGAACUGAAAGAUAUCCCUGUAGGUCCUUUUGUCUAUGUGGUGCCCAGUGAAGAAGACAAAACCAAAGUGAAUGAAAAUGACCAUGUUGAGAUCAACCAAGGUGAGUUAAAAACCAAAGAAAAAGAAGAAAAGGGUCACCACCGGCAACGAAAAAGUCGUCGCAAUAGACGUCGUGUUAAGCCAUUGAGGUCUCUUACUGCUCACUCUGACACUGCUCUGUAUAAAACUCUUGGUACAAAUCUGUACUCUCCAAAACAAGCACAAUAAAGUGAUGGACAUGGACCAGUGUUUGCAUCAUCCAUCUUCAUUUCUUGGUGAUAAUACAAUCAUAGCUAUUCAUAGGGAGAUUAAAAACUUUGGUCAAAUUCCUUGUAUAUUUUUACCAUAAAGUUCUCAAAUUAAACAACAUGUACAUAGUUUUUUCAACUUUAAACAGCUCCGUUAAAAAUGUGGUGGAAUUUUGAUAAAAAUAAAAAACAAAUCACGUGGCAAUAUUUAAUUUGAGAACUUGAUGGUAAAAAUAUAAAGAAUUUGAUGUUUUGUUUAUGUAAACGCAGACAUCGUAGGAGAAGAUAGGGAAGUGUAUUAUUGUAAGUCAUACAGCUCAAAGUUUUUUUGUUUUUUGUGUAGUUUGAUUUUGAUGUUUUCUUUGCAGAAAUUCCACAUGUUUUUUUUGAGGACUGAUGUUACAUGCGCCUAAAUUUUGCCCACGUACUUCUUUAAAUUAUGCUUAUUAUUUUACGCACAUUCAUAAAUAUCUUUGGCAGUUUAAAUUUUACACAUAUAUCACAUUAACAUAAUUGUGUGUACAGUUUAGCUUUGUGGUGGGGUGGGGUUUUAAGAUUUAUCAAAGUUUUCUACCUUAUCGUAACAAAUUUGGCCUUUGUCGUUGAGACUUAGGUCUGAAGCAAGUUAAAAUUGAUCUGUUUUUGGAAUUUUCCACCUUGUUAUUGAGAAAUGUUGCCUUUCUAAUGGUGCCUUAAGAUCUGUACUCUGGCAUUUCCUUCUUCUUCUUUUUAUUUCUUCUUACCCUACAAAGUCAUAAACGUUCAUUUGAAAAACUAGUGAUUUUGAAAGUGAAAUGGGCCAAAUUAUUUUAAGACUUGAUCCGUUGACUUCUGCGGCGUGUUGACAAAUGGCUGUUUUUUAAAACAAAACUUGUGUUGUGGAUUAGAUUUUUCCAAAACUGUGGCACCCAUGUUGUAACGGAAUAGAUUCAUUUUGCUACGCAGAUGGUUUUGUAUUUCCUAAUUAUUUUUUAAACCACUUUCAUUUUGCGUGUGGAGAAAUAUGAAGUAAAGAAAAUUAAUAACUAAAAAUCUUGUCCUGAAGUUGGUUGGUACUGAUAACCAUGAAGUGAACCCACCAGUUAAGGACAAGGUUGGUGUCUGCUAACUGAAAUGGUCAAUGAUAUUCCCAGUUUAUUAGAAUGAUAAUAGAGUGUUAAAAUUACUAACAAAAUGCGAUUAAAUUGUCUAUUGAUAAGAUAAAUUCGUUCAAUUUACUUUAUCAAAAAAAAAGUCCGUUCAAUCUAUCUUUCUUACCCACCUUAGUUGAUAUAACUUAUAAGGAUUAAUGAGUCAAUCUUUUAACUUGGAUACUUCGGUAAUUGGCUUAUCCAUUUCCAUUCAAUGUUCUAGAAUUGCAACAAAACAAUUUCAUAUCAAAUCAACCAGAGUUACUCUUUCAUUUGGGUUUAAUAUUCACAUCACCUUCCUUUACCAACCCCAACCAGCCAAUAGUGGGGUUAAUGAAAAUCACUUGCAGUAAAGCUAAAAUCACAAAUUAAGAAUCUGAAACUAUCUUCUUGUGACAUGUCAACAAUCAAAAUAAAGACUAACACUUAUCAAAUCUAAUGCCACUAGAUAAAUAUUGGCUUGCAAAUUCAACAAAAAAUUAUGGCAUUUUCUGGAAUGUUGUCAUUUGCAAUCCUCCUAAUAGUGCCAUUAAAAAAAUCAGAAAUUCUUUAUUUGCUUUAAAUAAGUACCUGAUCAAACACAUUCUAGAGCGUAACAGUAUAAUAAUAAUAAUAUAGAAGCAGACACGAAGUUGGUGGUCCAGCAGCCACAAAUCUAACUAGCUAAAAAUAAAACAGGUUUGAAAAUUAAACAAGUAUUUUGGAUUGUUUAUAAAAUAAAAAAAAAAUCAAUCUCCACUGACAUUUAUGAGAUAAUAAGUCAUUUUCAAAUUGUUAACUUUCCUAAAACCAAAUGCUGAUCACAGAAUAUACAAAUAUCUGAAGUCAUAUGGAAUGACAUAAUUGUUUUACUUAGUUUGUUUGUAAGCCAAAUUGUGUGGAAAUUAGUACAGGAAAAUGGGGUUUGCUUCUAUAUCAAUAUGUUGAAGCUGCAUUGUUCAACGUAGAAGAACAAAGUUAGGCAUCAUGCCACUUAGAAGAAUCAAAAUUCUUUAGAUAUAAUUAUCUAGCAUAGACCGCGUGUAUUCUAUUCAAUAGUUGUAAAGAAAGGAAAGCCACAUAUAUGGUUCAACAAGGGAGAGAAAGAGUUUAUUUAACCUCUAGCAAUAGCAGAUGAACUGAAAAUGAAACUGUGACUUGAAUAUUUGUUGCCAACAAGUUGGACUAGAAUGUGUUCAAUUCAAUUAUUCACCAAUCUAUUUGUAUUUUUCUAAAUGCUAAAUAAAAAAUUUAUUUCAUUCUUCCAUAUUUUCGUCUUUCUCUCCCUGGUGGUAGCUGAACAACAACACAUACAUCCACAUUGGGAACAAAUCCAUAGUAUGAUAGGAUUACAAUGCAAAGCUUUUCUUCCAUUUGAGGAACAAUUCACAUUAAUUUGAUAUUUUGUUACAGCAAGGAUAUGUACGAGUAGUCAGCAAUUUUGUAUCCACAAUCCAUUCAUAUGACAAAGCCUUUCAGAAACAUUUGGGGAGGACUGGCUUCUUAAUUUAUUAUAAUUUAAUAGGAGUAUCAGUUUCAAAUAUUAAGCUGCUUUUCCUGAUUAAAAUUCAAGUUUUUGUUUCUUAUUCAUUUCUUUUCAUGAUUUUCUUACAUUUUUUUUCUUCACCCCACUAUCAUUUUGAUCCAAGACUCUGUCGGCAUGUAAUACUCGUUUAUCAUAUGUGAAUGUAACUCUAAUUAGCCUAAACAACGUUCACAUUAUUCUAGAGUAACUCUAUUUGGCACAAAUUAAUUUCUAAUCAGGUGUUGAAUGAGAUGUCCUUAGUGGUUAAUGUUUUUGAGUGUAACUGUCAAAAUAAAGAAACAUAAGGUUUCAUUCUUACUUACAUUUGUCAAAAGUAAUUUUAAUUAUUUAGUAUGCACAACAAAAAUUACUAGAAACUUGGAGGUGAAGAUAGGGCAUUGUGUCAAUGAAUAAAAUAAUAUUUUACGUUAGCGUGACAGAAUGUACAACUGAAUGGGGAACUUGUUGACGGUUAUCAUCACCGCAGCAUCAUUUGUAACUUUUUCACACCUAGAAAACUAUUAAACAUAUUAUAAUAAGAAAAGAAAAAGAGAAGAAAUAUAUAUAUAUAUAUAUAUAUAUAUAUAUUAAACUACAUUGCUUAGUAGAAUUUCAAAUUAGCUUACACAAUUAAGUUGUUAGCACGUCAAUGUCACAUGCAAAUGACGCAUAAUAAUUAAUUUUCUUCGUGUUAGUUUUAGACAUUAGAAAUUAAUGCUAAUUAUAACACAUUUUAACAAUAAAAUAAAAUUUGACAACGAUAGAGGAAAAUGUGUUCGCAUCCCAAUCUCAUUUUCAAACACGAAUUCAUCAAUUUUUCCAUUCAAAGCACCAAUACAAAGAAGAACCCCUUCAUCCCACAAAAUUUUGUUCCCCUGUUAGAGAUACCAUAUCAACAAAUGUACUCAUUACAGCAGCUAAACAUGACAAAAAAAAAGGUAAUAUACUAUAUCGUACGAGACUAUUCUGCAGAAAGUAGUACGAAAUCCACGUGUUUAUAUAUUAACUAUAAUUAAAUAAAUAUUGAAUUAAAAUUAAAAUAAAAACAAGAAGUUUGACGAACACUAGAAGCGGCUACCAUAUGCAGAAUUGGCGUGACACGAAUUCAAAGUUUCUAGCAUUUUCAAAAAAAAAAAACUCACAAAUAUUCCGAGUGCAAUAAUAUUCUCUACGAUUGAGAUUUGAUUUAAGUUUUUUGUACAGUAUAAUCCACUGACAUGUGUUAUUAGCCGUAUAGACCAGAAGUUUCACAUGACAAAUACUGAAAUCAUACAAAAUUCUCCAUUCAAACAUUUUAUAUAAUUAUAUAUUUAAAAUUUUAUUUUGAUUCAUUGAAAUAAAAUAACAAAGACACCAAAUAUUAAUUUAAAGUAAUUUAUGCAUUAUAUUUAACUAUCUGAGUUAAAUUUUCUCAGUAAUUAUAUAUUUUAGAUUUAAAUUCAUUUGAAUGGUGAUCAUUUAAGUUGUUAUGUAUUAUAUACUAAUAUUUAAGAUUUGAGCAACAUGUCAAUCGAUCCAAUGAAUUUAUUAUAAUACUAAAGACUAUUAAUUAUGUAUAAUAUACUAAUAUUUUCUGAUUGAAUAAAAUUAAAAAUAUAAAAUCAAGUAAAGAAUUAAAGUUUCAAGAUAUAUAUAUAUAUAUAUAUAUAUAUAUAUAUAUAUAUAUAUAUAUAUAUAUAUAUAUAUAUAUAUAUAAUUCAAAUAAAUACAUAUAAAAAUAUAAAUAAUUUAAAUUUUUUAAUAUAUUACUUUUUUAAAUUUAAAAAUACAAGUGAAUGAUAUUCGAAAUAAGAAAAAAGAGAUCAUAAUACAAAAAAUAUAAAAGAGAUUAAACAUAAAGUUUGAGGGAAAAUAAAUUAUAAUACAAAACGUUUUAAACAAUUAAAAAUAAAAUUAAAAUAAUUUAUAUUUACUUAUUUAAACCUGCACCUACUUAAUCAAGAUUCAAAAAUAUACGAGAUGAGAUAAGUUAAUCUAGGUUAUUCGGCAUUGAAAAAAUUAAUGGAUACUGUAUUUCAAUAAUUUAGUAAAAAAAAUAUAAUUGACAUAAUAUACUAAUUUUAAUAUUAUAUAUAAUUAUAAAGAGAAAUCACAUGAGAAUGAUCAUUUUAAUUGUCAUUAGGUUACAUAAGAAUGAGAAUGAUCAAUUUUAAUUGUCAUUAGGUUAAAAUAAAAGUUUAAAAUUAAAAUAUUUUAAAUUUAAAUUAAUUUUUUAAUAAUAAAAUCUCUAAUCAUGAUUGUUGUCAUCAUUAUUUUUACCAUCAUCAUCUCUAUUGUAAUCAUCAUCAUGAUCAUUCUACUAACAUGAUUUUAGUUGUUAGUAUCGCCACCAUAUGAGGUGACAACAACAUCAAUAAAGAUUAUAUUGGUGACAACAAUAAUUAUUAGGUCGUAAUAACAUAAGAUUAUUCUCAUAUAAAACUACAAUUAAGACAUGUUUAUAAUAUAUAAUUCAUAAAAAUAUCAAUAUUAUAUCAUAUUAUGUAAAAAAAACUAUUAUUUAUUAACACAAAAAUAUCUUGUUAUUAAUACAUAAUUACUAAAAAAUGUAAAUUUAAAAAGAGUGUAACACUAAUAUAAACCUAAUCUUUCUAUAUCAAAUCUGAUUUCCAAAAGUCGAACAAGUUAAAAUUAGUUUGUAAUCAAGCUACAGUAAACUAAUGAAGACGACUAACAUUGACAAGAACUCUGGUCGGGCAAUAUUCUGCAUCAUUGUAAUCUUCACAUCCUUUACUUUUUUUCAAUAUUCUCAAAAUACCUCUUUUCACACCUCAACUAUUUUUUUUAUCGAAUUUAUAGAAAUUAGUUUCCGUAAUAUAAAUCUUUUAUAAAUUAUGAAAACUAAUUUUCGUAAUAUAAAAAUCAAUAUUAUGAAAAUUAGUUCUUUAAAAGAGUAUUUUUGUCACAGAAAAUAGAAAAGAAAAAAAUAGAGGACAAGACAAAAAGGUGAGUAUGAAUAGCAUGACCUUGCUAUUUUGAACUUGAUAUGCAAACAAAUCCGUCUGAUCCAAAUUGGACACCGGCAUUGCUACGUGCACCCACACCCAGCAAUUUCAUGAUUUUUUCAUUUUAUCCUUCGAUAAAAGGGAUACAGAUUAGCUAAUCCAUACGACUCAUAUGGAUUAGCUAAUCCGUAAGAAGCAGGAGUCGAAGAAACUUUCAGAUUAUUAGUACAACACUCUAACCAACUGAACUAAUAGAUCAAUUAUGUUAUAAAAUAAAAAAUAUUGUUAUAUAUAACACAAAAAUUUUUAAUGUAUAUCUAAUGCGCAUGUAAAUUUAAAUAAUAAAUUUUGUGACAAUUAAUUUUGAUAUAACUCAUACAGAUUAUCUAAUCCGUAUAUUUUUUUAUAAAUAAAAAAUAUUUACUAUUAAAAAAAUAAUUUAUUAAUAAAUUAAAAAAAACAUACAGAUUCGUAUGAGUUAUAUGAAAAUUAAUUGUCACAAAAUUUAUUAUUUAAAUUUACAUGCACAUUAAAUAUAUAUUAAAAAAUUUAGUGUUAUAUAUAACAAUAUUAUUUAUUUUAUAACAUAAUUGAUCUAUUAGCUCACUUGGUUAGAUCGUUGUGCUAAUAACAUGAAAGUCACAGGUUUGACUCUUAUUUGAGCUAUUAAUUUUAAAUUAAUUCAUAAAAUAUAUAUUUUUUUUAAAAUAAAAAAAAAACACUUAUGGAUUGGACUCAUACGGAUCAGCUAAUCCAUAUGAGGCUUAUGGAUUAGCUGAUCGUAUGAGGUUUAUGGAUUAGUUGAUCCAUAUCCCUUUUAUGAAAGGGUAAAGUGGGAAAAUCAUAAAAUUAUUGGGUGUAUCAGUAAUUUCUCUGGGUGCACGUAACAAUACCCAUUGGACACCGGUGAGUCCAAGCCCGUCUCAGCGUCUCAACAGUGUAAGUGAUUCCAUUCAAGGGAUUAACCUGGAGCACGUAUGGGCCUAGAAGAAAAAUCAGAGGUUUUAGAUAUUUACACCGCCCCCCCUUUAUUAUUUAUUCAAAUAUACUUUAUAUGAAAUAAUAUAAACCUACUUUUACACCCCUAUCAUCAUUAUUCUUUAAAUAUUAUUUUUACACCUCAUCACCAUCAUUAAAUUCUGUUUCUGCACCCAUUUUUGUCAUUUUUAAACUUUCCCCAUCUUUCUUAUUAUUUAAAUCUUUUAAAGGAUGUCUAAAUGAGUUGGUUGAAUAGAAUGCAUGAGUUGAUAUAAACUAUUUAAUGUUUGUCUUUAAUUCUUACAAAUUAAUAAAAAAAAGCCUUUCACAUAUCUUUUUCUCUUUUUUCUUAUAAAAAUAAUAAAAUUUUAGCAUAGUUCUAUUCCCUACAUUAAAUACAUGUUAUGAAUAAUACAUGAUUUGAAUGACUGUGUUAAAAUACAUUUUCCAUUAGUGAUAAUUUGCAAUUUGCAAAAUUAAUAGGGUAUCAUAAAUUGUGAUUUAGCUAUCAUAAAUUAACAUGAUAUGAAUAACUGUGUUUUCAAGGAAUCCUUAUUUUCUUCAAUGUGGCGGUUAUUUCAUUUUAUCUGCCUACCAUUCAACUUUCUCCCAAAAUAAAAAGGUAUUGUACCAUUCAACUUAUGAUAUUUUUAAUGUUAUUUGAGCCUGAUUCAACUUACUAUUAUUAUUUGCUUCAUAGGUAAUUACUAUUAAUAUGCAGCCAAGCACCCCCAAAACCACCAGCACCAUUAUUACUGAAAACCACAAUUACAUACUAUUAUUAUAGUGAACUCCAGCAUCAUCAUAAGGUUAAGAUUAUUCAAAAUUUUCUGUCAAAAAAAAAGAUUAUUCAAAAUUUUCAAUUCCUAGCCUUAUUUUGUGUCAAAAGCUUUGGACACAGGAUACUUUUGAAGUGUAGGCUCCGCUCAACAACUUGCACAAGUGUUUUCCUAGUUACAAUCAGUCCAAAAAUCACCUCCCAUGAAACAUAUUGGCCCUCCUACGCUUUAAGGACACACAUCCAGGGUGUUGAUAGGAUGAGUUGUGGUGAUUUAUCUUUGUCAUUAUUCAGCUUAAAAUUUUCAUAUUCAUUGUUAGCAUAAAUUCGUACACCUACUUGAUCUAAGAAUUGUUAUAUAUGUGGAGAUCCAUAUAUCACAAACACCCUACUAGUUGACACCCUUGUUUUUUUUAAUCUUUUUUUAUCAAAUCAUAUCAUAUCUAUACUUCUCUAAAUUUUUUUCUUUUUCUCUUUCAAUGUGUCACAUGGCAUAUGAGUGUUACGUAUCUUUAUUCUUGAUCUAAUUAAGAUUCUAUAAUAUAUCUAGGAUGAGAUUGAGAUGACCUGAGUUGUUGAUUCGAUCUUUACAAAUGAAUCACAAAAAUAAUCAGCCAACACGUUUGGUUUUAAAAAACAUGUCAGUAAACAGAUAAAUUAUAAUCAACGUCCAAGAUGAUCUUAGUUUGCAGUCUCGUCUUCAAAGGAUUUUAUUAGCCUUAUCAACUAAAUUAAUAGCCUUUUUUCACUCUUUCACUUUUUCCCGACCGUGAUUUUUGUUUUUUCUCUCAUUUUAUUGGUGCCAAAGUAGUUUUUAAUGGAAUCAAUGAAAAGUGCUGUCAUACUUAAUAGCAUUACUCUGACACGUACUGUAUAUAAUUCAGCAAUAUAUUACGAACACUAUUUUAAAAUAAUUUGUGCUAAUUCAACUUUCUUUAAUUCACGAUCAAGUUAAAAAUUUAAUCGCAUCAAUGAUCUAUAUAGUAGUAUAUCAACAAGAGAGAGAAAAGCCUAUUAUGGCUCAAGGUGGCAACACAUCUUGUAUGUGGAGAGAAUUUAGAUUUCAUUUUCACAGAACACAUAUUUGAAAAGGAACAAUAUGCUUUAAGUGUUUAGUCCUAGACAUAUGAUUAGUAACCCAAAGGAUAUCUUGAUGAGAGAGAGAGAGAUGCCUAUUUGUGUGAGAGAGAAAAUGGCUACAAACUUUCACUAACACAUUUGCUAUUACAUUGGUUACCACAAUCUCUAUUCUAACACCACAACAUCAUUUUUAUUUUAUUUUUUAUAACAUUGUUAUGAGAAGAAAGAAAAAUUCAUUGCAAUCCAGUGUGACAAACAUAAGCUCACACAAGACCCAUUUUAUUCCUACAGCAAUCUUAUUAGAGAGAAACCCUUUGUGCAAGGGCACUGCUCAGAGAGAAUAAAGAUGGUGUGGAAGCCUAGGCUCAACAACAGUUUCCAGUGGUAUUUUCUUAGGUGUAGAGAGCCCAAAAAUCUCAUCCAUAUUCAAAUCCUCAUUCUUGACAUUAUCAGGCAGUCUCCAGUUAAAUCCAUGCAACAAAUUGGCCAAACUUGCUUGAAUGACCUUAAGGCCAAGAGGGUAGCCAGGGCACAUCCUUCUCCCAGCACCAAAUGGCAAUAGCUCAUAGUCAUGUCCUUUAACAUCAAUCUCCUUAGUAAGAAACCUCUCUGGUUGGAACUCUGUAGGGUUGUCCCAAAUUGAAGGGUCUCUCCCAAUAGUCCACACAUUCACAAGCACUUGUGUCCCUUUGGGGAUGUCAUACCCUCCAACUUGGCAAUCCUCUCUGGCUAGUCUUGGCACCAACAUUGGUGCCACAGGGUGCAGCCUCAUUGCUUCCUUUGCAAUGGCAUUCACAUAAGGCAAAUUUACAAUGUCCUUCUCUUCAACCCAUCUUUCUCUACCUAUUACCCUGUCUAGCUCCUCUGUUGCCUUCUUGAAAAUCUCUGGCCUUCUCAAUAGCUCUGUGAUUGCCCAUUCCACUGUUACUGCUGAACUCUCAGUCCCACCUGCUAUUAGAUCCUGAUUAAUAAUUGACACAAUUGUGAAGUGGGUCAGAAAAUGUUAAUAAUUAAUCUGCCAAAUCUGAAAAUAUGAAAUGUGUAGUCCUACACUUCAUAAUUAAAUUCAUAUUCAGAUAUCAGGUAAUCCUACUCAACCUGAGCCAAUAAAAUGGCUAAUUAAAAUAUAUCUGGCUAAUGGGUACAGAAAGAUGCUACAGGAGUUCAAAAUAUAUGGAAAUAAGAGAGGUAGAGUAAACAUGACCGACCAUGUUGUAUCUUGUGCAUCGAUUGGACGAUCGGCUAAACAAAGUUACUAUUACCUUUUAAACAUAUUUUUUUAUUAACUUAUUCUACAAAAAAACUUAACAUGUUCUUUAAAAAAAAAAAAGACAGACUUGUCUGCCACUUUAUUAAAAGAAUCUUUUUAAAGAAAAAACAAGAGAAUGAGUUACUUAGACGAAGUAGUUGAUAUUUUAAAAAGCUUUAUUGGGUGAGUAGAAAAAAGAAAUAUAAAACCACGGAAAGUGUUUUAAUAUUUGGUGGCCUAUCACAUUAUCUACAAAAUAAAUGUAUUAGCUAGCUGACAAAAUAUAUUUUAGUAAUCACACAUGUUGAAUAGUAAACUAAUAAUUUAAAAUAACACUAAAAAAAUGAAAAACGAUUGGUACCUGUGUAAAAGCCUUGACUCCAUGCCUCUCAAGCUUGACCUCAAGAGUAGGAUCCUCGGCAAGUUGCAAAAGAACAUCAACCAUGUCCUUCGCCACGUAAUCCUCAACCCCUUUCUUCCUCUCAAUAUGUUCAUCCAAGACGUGCUCCAUGAACAUAUCAAACUUCUUGCUCAAAGCCUUCAUCCUCUUUAUGUAACCCUGCAGGUCCAAGAAAUCCAUCCAAGGAAUAAAGUCCCCGAUGUUAUACACCCCAUUAAGCAAAAACAACUCAUCAAGCAUCUUCUUGAAAUCAUCGGGCGAAACGACGGCGUUUUCGGAUUCCUCAAGGUACUUUUUUCCCAACACCAUGCGGCUUAUAACGUUGAGGCUAAGGUUGGAAAGGUGGUCUUUUAGUAAAAUUGUUUUGUUUGCGGAAUUGAAGAGUUCGUUAAGAAGGCCACGAAGCUCUUGUUUUCUAAUGUAUUCGUAUUCUUCUAAGCGUUUAGCACUGAAUAAUUCCAUCAGGCACAUUCUACGGGCCUGGCGCCAGUAUGGGCCGUACUGGGACCAAGUGAUGUCCGAGUAGUUGUAGGUUGUGUAUUUGCCCGCCGCGAAUUUGGGCCUGCCGGCGAGGGUGGCAUCGUGGGUUUUGAGGAUGGCCUUCGCCAUGUCCACGGAUGAGCCCACCACGACGGGGUUCGACCCGAACCACACGUGCAUGAUGGGCCCGUAUGUUUUACUCAGCGCGUGAAUCGACUGGUGUGGGAGGGAGCCGAUUAAGUUUAGGUUGCCUAUGAUGGGCCAGGGCUUGGGGCCUGGGGGGAGAUUGUAUUUACGGCGGCGGAGACCGCGGAGGAGGAAGAGGAGGAGGGCGGCCAAGGCUGCCAAACAUGCGGCUGCGGUUGGAACCCAAUUGGGAGAUGCCAAUUCUAUUGCCAUCUUCGAGAUUGGCAAGUUUGAAGUGAAGAAGAAAGCAAGGCUUGUGUCGUGAUGAUGAAUCAUUGCUUUGCUGAGUGGCUUAUUUAUGUAGAAAAUAUGGCAAUGGCAAACAAGUAAUACUUUAACUUAUGGCCCUACUUGGGCUUCUUUCUACAACAUUUCGUGAACCAUGCAUAUAAAUUUCAGUGGCUAUCUUUGUGAUUUUUUCUUUUCUUUUUCCACUUCUGUCUUGUUAGAGAAAAAUUUUAAUUUUCACUUUCCUUUUAAAAGUCUAACACUCUAAUUUUUACUGUGUUCUUAUUUAUUAUCCUCUUUAGUUUUUUUAUUUACAAAAUUUAUUUAAAUUUGGAAAUACGUGUAAAAUAUAUGAAAUAUUUAUUAGUUGUUUACUCAAAAUAACAAACAAAAGCACAUGAACUACAUCAAAACAAGUACGAGUAUUCCAUAAAAGUCAGUACGUAUUAUAAUAACUUGAUGUUCACUCUCUUAUUUGUUCGUCAACUUCCUUGUAAGUAAUUAUAAUAUUUUUGUUGUUACCUUCAACUAAAUAUAUUUUUUUAUUAAAUUUUAAUUGAUCAGUGUAUUAAUUAAUGGCCAAUGGGUGAGUAUAUGUCGGCACUCCAUUUGUUGAUCUACAAUUGUUAUUCCUUCAAAAAAAAUGUACUUGUUAUUAAUAAAUUCAAAUUAUAAUUUCUUUAGUUAAUCUUAUUUCAAUGAUUUUUUUUAAAGAAGUUUAAUUAAAUGUGUUGUAUCAGUUACUUUAGAGGAAUUGCACCAAUUACUCACACCUUUACUUUUGUCUUUCUUUUAAGGGGCAUUUGUAACAAGGAAAAUUAAUUUUAUUAACAUUCAAAUAAAUCAUAUCAUUUAAAAAUUAAUUUUAACCAAAAUUAAUUUUAUUUAAAAAUAUUUUUUUUGGAAAACCCAAGGAUAACAUUGAUGAUUUAGAGAGACUUAUUGAAUUAGAAUUUCAAAAGAUUUUUUUUAUAAAAAAAUCUAUUGAUAUUCAAUCAAUAUUUUUAAAUUGUAUAAAUAAGUCUUGUGGUAUUUAAUUAAGGCUUUCAAGAUUUUUUUAAUGAGGGUAACAAAAUUCGAUUGUAUCCGAUUAAGAUUUUUUAUAACCUAUAAAAAGUAUUUUGUUAUUCAAAAAUGAAAAAAAAAAUGGUUAUACACUCACAAUGUAAAGAGUUUUACAUAGUCAUUUAAUCACAAUCCAUCAUAUAUGAUAAGUUUGUUGACUUUUAAAUUAAUUAUCUUAAAGUAAUUCAAACGAUGAUUUGUAAUUGGAUGACAACGUAAAAUUGUUUUACACUGUCAGUGCAUAGACACAAACUUUUCCAAAAUAUACAAAUUUUGAUGAAUUAUUUUUUAAGAAGAAUUUCGAUAGAUUUCAUUAGCCUUUUUACCAUAAAAUAUCUAUCAAAUAAUCUCACUCAAACCCUUGAAAUUUUACUAGACUCUUUUCUUUCUUUUUUUAUUGGUUUCUAUACUUUCUUUUCUCUCAUCACACAUAUCCACUUCUCUCUUUAAUAUUCUUCAAGAUGUGUGUGUCAUAUAUGUUUUUCCUAUUAUUUUAUAAUAAAAAAGUCAGAUAUACUCCCCCCCUCUACACUUUUUUGUUUGUUUUCUAAAUUAAUGUUUGUCUUAUGUGCUAAGGUUAACCAUAUUUUUCUUAUACUGAUCGUGUGCAUCAUUUGUUUGAUGCAAUGUUUUUAUGACUGUCACCUUUAGUUUCAUUAUCCAUAUAACUCAAUAACUCUUACAAAUUUUUCACCCUCACCACUAAUUUCUAUCCCAUUUAAACAUGUCAUUGGAUUUAUCAUGAAAUAAUUAUAGUAGCUAAAAAAACAUAAUUUUAAAUUUAUUGUUCAAAUUCAAAAGAGAGAAUAAAAAAAUGUUAUUGUAAGAAGGGCUAGUAUAGGAGGAUAUAAAGUUAUAAUCAAUUUAGCUAUUAAAAUAUUAGGCUAAAAUGCAAUUUUUGUUUCCUUAUUUUUUCAAACCUAAGCUUUUAUUUCCCCCAUUUUUAAUUGAGACAUUUCAUUCCUCACUUUUAAAAAGUUUGCAAUUUUAGACCUCUAUUUUUUAAUUGAGACAUUUCGUCCCCCACUUUUAAAAAAUCAGUAAUUUUAGUUCUUAUGGUUGAUAAUUGUUAUGUAUGCAUAAUUUGAAUAUUUAAAUCACACAAUAAUUACCUGAUUUUUCUCUCUUUUAUCAUUUAUUUUUGUGUUUAAACAUUAGGAAUUCAACAUCUUCUAAGUUUUUAUCUAGUAGAUGCUAAAACUAGUAAUUUUAUAAUAUUUUUUGUGGUAUACUUUUUGUAGAGACAUAACAGAAGGCAUGAAAGAGAAUUGAAAAACUAGAGAGUCGCGCUCAGUGCAUUAACCUCGCUCAACGCACCAGCCUCGCUUAACGCAUGAAGACCGCUUAGCACGACAGGCUCGCUUAACGUUAGAAGUCACAUGGGAAGCCAGUUGUCACAUGCAUGCACGCUUAGUACAUGGUGAGCGAUUAGUGCGUGGUCAUUUAUCCAAGUGGAUUUUUUUCAACGUGCAGUCUCACUCAGCACACAAUCAAUGUCGAAAAACAUGAUUGUGUUGCAUUUUAAGAGAAAAAAGGAGGGAAUAGGGGCGUGAUUGAUUCUAUUGAGCAGCAGGAGCUAGGGCACGACCAUUGGAGAGAGACCCAUUCAUUUGGAGCAUUUCUUCUCCAUUUUCCUCCAUUCUCUUCCACUUCGUUCACCCCUUUUUGUAUCUGUAAGUCUCUCAUGACAAUGAGAGACUAAACUACCCAUUGUUAGGAGCUCAUAAACCAAAGAGUCUUGAUGUAAUGAUUCUAACUAUCUAUUUAAUGUUAUUUCAAUAUUAUUGUCUCUUUUUUGUGCUUAUUAUCAUGUUUGUGACUUGAUCACCCUUGCUCAUGUAAUGUUAGAAGAUUUAGGCAUUGGAAAAAUUUAUUUCUUAAGAACUAGAAAACAAACAUCUAAGUAAUCUAUCUCUAGGGACAAAAUGGUGUUAUUUAGUUUAAAUUAUGCAUCUCUGUUCAUAAUACAAUUUGUUUGAUUUGCCUCUUAAGGGAUUAUGAGAGAAAUUAGGUAUGUUAGAUUUUUUCAUGUGAGGAAUCAUGACUAUAGUAUGUAUUAUGUAAGUGGAUGUAGGUAAUAGCUGAAAAAAUAUUGGAUAGAGAAAAAUCAUUAAUUUUACAUUAAGAGUAGUUCUAAUAGACUGAGUCCCAACAUGCCUGUACUUAUGCAUCGACUGUCACUUCAGUGCUCUCUAUAGUUUAAUUUUAUGUUGAAUUUACAUUUAUGCGUCACUAUGUUACAAAUAUCCAAUUCAAUUCAUUAAUUGUUUAAAGUUCAUUUAUGCUCUAUAUAUAUAUAUAAACCCUGAGUAUAGUCAAAGUUCAUGUAAACUCGAUACUUGAUUUUACCGUUUUAAAAUAUUACUUGAACGAAUUGGUACACUUGACAAGGAGUUAACAAUGAUCAAUUUCAAACGUUGAUUUAUGUACUAUGUAAAUGUUGACUAACAACCAUUUGUUUAUUAUGCAGAUGACAAGUAUUUUUUUUUAAAUUAUUUAAUUACUAACAAACUUAAUUUAUUAAAAAAAUAAUUAAAAAAAUACAUAGUCAACAAGUCUGAAAUUGACCAAGAAGACAAAAAUUGUAGAUUUUUAAAAGUGGGAGACAAAAUAUAUCAAUUAAAAAAUAGGAGGACUAAAAUCCAUAAUUUUUUAAAAGUGGAGGACAAAAUAUCUCAAUUAAAAAAUAGGAAGACUAAAAUCACAUAUUUGAGAAAUUAGGGGAAUGAAAAUUUUAUUUUAGCCAAAAGCUUAAAAAAACUAUAUUGAUUUUUACUUUUUUUCUUUAUCCAAACCUCAUCAUUUCUUAUUAUUUUCUUCACUAACUCUUGUAAUUUUGAAUGUAUUUUUAAAAAUUAACAGAAUCCUUUCAUAUAUUAUAAAUCUAUAAAGUUCUUUUAAAUCCUUUAAAUUCUUAUGAUAUAAAUCCAUUAAAAUUUAAACUAUCAUAAUAGUCUUUGUAAAGAAAUAUGAUAAGUUAUAAUAUUUAGGCUAAAAUAUGUUUUCCGUCUCUAUAAAUAUAAAAAAGUUUAGAAUCUAUCUCUCUAAAAUUUUCAGUAAGUUUUUUUGUUCUCAUAAAAUUGAAAUGUAUUAUUUUUUGACUUAGAGGCAGGCUUGGACAAAAUCGAGCAAACAUGACAUUUUUUAAAAAUUAAAUUGUAGGCUAAAACAUGAUUUUAUUUCCUAUAAAUAUUGAAAUAUUCGAAAUCCAUCUCUGCAAAAUUUUGAGUCUUUUUUUUGUUCUUGAAAAAUUGAGAUCGGUUACUUUUUGGCUCAAAUGUAGGUUCAAAUAUCUAACCUUAUGUAUCAUUCUUUCAUUUGUUUCAUUGAUAACUAUGAGAGUAAGUGAUUUAUGAGGGUUAAAAAUCGCCAAAAAAUGUAAAAAAAUAAUAUUUCAAAUUUGUAAAUCCCUCCUUCUUAACCUUUUUCCUUUCCAUCUUUCUUUAUCUUCUUCAAAUUUAAAUAUAUUUUUUUCUUUUUUAAAUGUUCUAUUCAACUGCAAUGGUCAACACCACCUUAUUGACUCUGUCAUCUUCUUAUUCUUCUUCUGUGAAUUCUCCUUCUUUCCGAAAACAAAAAACCUAAAACCUUCACUUCCAAAUUUGACUUUAUGAAUAUCAUUUUCAAUGUUCUAUCAUAAUCAAAUGUCGUCGACUAACUCAAUAACCUAGCUUCCGAAUUCACCAAUCUCUCAGAUUAUCCUGGUGGAUGGAGAAGAUGAAGAAAGUUAAGAAAGAAAGAGGUUGGGAAAAAGGGAUUCAUAAUUUUUGGGGUUUUUUUUCCCUGUAUUUUGUGAUAGUUUUGAAUUCCCAAAAAUUACCCAUUCCUAUAACUAUCAUGGAAAUUAAUGAAAGAGUGACACGUAAGUUCGAAUACAUUAACCUACGUUCAGGUCAAAAAGUAAUAGAUUUCAAUUUUUUUGAGGAAAAAAAGACUAAAAAUUUUGGAGGACGAAUUUCGAACAUUUUGAUAUUUAUAGGGACGAAAAACAUAUUUUAACUUAUAAUUUAACUUUUUAAAAAUGUCAUGUAGGCUCAGAUUCGUCAAAGUUUGACUCCGAACAAAAAAAUAACACAUUUCAAUUUUUCGAAAACGAAAAACAUACUAAAAAAUUUGUAAAGAUGAAUUAUGAACUUUUUGAUAUUUAUAGGAAUGAAAAACAUAUUUUAAUAUAAUAUUUAUACAUAAUCUUGAAAUUUCACAAAACUAUUUUAUAUUAAAAUAAUCUUUUAAAAUCCUAAUCCAAUUCACCCCUUAAUUUAUUAAUAAGGUUACAUCUUGCAAUUGGUCACAACUAAAAAAUAACUAGUAUAAUUUAAAAGCGGUAACAUUUGAGGAAAAAAAAUUUAUACAUUGAAGAUUAGGGUGAGGGAUCUUUGGACUCAAAUAAGAGAUAAAAAAAAUAAAAAUAAGAGAUCAAAUAAAUAACUUUAUACGUAAGUUUUUUCUUGUUUCACUCCAUCAAUCUUUUGGGUACUUACAUUUAUUAAUAUUUAUUUUAUUUUAUGAAACAUGCUAAUUAAAAAAUAUUUAUUUAUUAAAAUUUUCAAUUCUCUUUCCCAGUAAUUUUUAAUGAAAACAUUUUACUUAUUAAUUUGUUAACACUUGUGUUUUUAGACUACUCGUUAACAAAAUUCUUAUUUAUUUAGUUGAAUUCAAACAGUUAUCAAUUUAACGGAGGUUGUAAGAAUGAAAAUUUAUAUGUAUGUAAAUUUAAUAGUAUAAUAUGUGGAAUGGUUUUAUGAUUCAAUCAGUUUACAAGGACGUUCUUGGAAAAGCGAUAAAAGUAUGGUUGUUAAACAAACACCAUUAUUGACUGACUUGACACCUUUGCCUUUUACAAAAGCAAUAAUGGAUAUAAUUGAGUAUUUCUUAAAGAAUAUUAUUAUAUUACUGAAAAAAAUAUAUUAUUGUGGGUAGUUGCCAACUAUCCAUAGUCCAUAGCAGUGUUUCUGUGAAAUUUCAUAAUUGACUUGAAUAGCAAUCUUAUUAAGUCAAUGUCGACAGUCAACGAAAUUGGUUCCAUGGUAUGUGUUAGCACAUUUCUAGUAAAUAGAGCGUAAGUAUUAUGCUACCUUCAUUUUUUUUCUUAAAAUAAAUAUCAUCCUAAGUGUUAUACUAACUGGUUGACACUUGACACAAACAAACAAAAAAUUAAUAGAUAAAUAAAAUAAUAAUUUAUAAAUUUAAUCUUAUUAAAUAGAUGAAAGAUUAUAAUAUUAGUAUCAUUAAAAACUAAAGUAAAACUUAUUAGAAAUAUUACUAACAAAAAUAAUUAAUAUUACAUUAAAAAAAUCAACAUAAUACUUAUUUUAAGAUAAUUUUUUAAAUAUGACAUUUAUUUUUAAAUGAAAUCAAUAUUUUUUUCUUCCUUCUUAAAAGUAUAAUUUUUUAAUCUAGUGAACUUAUUACCACUAAAAAUAUUCUUCAAAAGAUUCUGAAAUAAAUUUUUAAAUAUAUAUUUUUUAAAAUUUAUAUCACUUUAAAGUUAUCAAACUAUCUUUAUUUUAAAAACUUAUAUCUUAAUUAACAAGUUAAUUCCUUUUGGCGUACCUAUGUUCACCAAAAUUCCAUUUGUUUGAAAGAAAAAAAAAAGAAGCCGAAAAGUUUUUUAAAUUUAAAUUAAACAGAAAUGAAUAAAGCUUGAAUUUUUAUUUCAAAGUCAGCAUUUUUGUUUAUUCUUCCUUUAAUCAAAUAAAAUGAAAUAUACUUAUAUUUCAUUUAAUUUCAUUUUUAUAUUUCUUCCUUUUCAAGAUGUAGAUGUAGUGUCCAAAGUUUUUAUUUUCUUGUGUGCGCUAAUUAAGGAUAAAAAAAAAAUAUAUACAUCAUAAAAUAAUUUUAUACAAUCAUUCAAUAAUAAAUCAUUAUGAUAUAUUUAUUAAUUUUUAUAAUAAUUAUCUUAAGUUAUAAAAAUAAUGAUUAGAGAUAAAAUGACGCCAUAAAAUUAUUAUUUUACACCGUCAAUAUAUCCCUAUUAAAUUCUUAAUUAAAUGAAUUCUUCUUCUAUCUUAUUAUGUUUUUAUUUUAUUAUUAUAACUAGUGAAACAAAUUGUAUAUUAUUUUAAUUUUUAAAUGUAUUUCUCUAUCACUUUUAAUUUUACAAAAAUAUGUUAAUUACCAGUAAAACUUUUCUAAGUUUUGGUUGUGGAACCCUUGAUACCAACAAUCCUAGGACAAUCGCUACAGAAAAAACAAUCGUCAUAGUUUUAUGGUCAAUUAAGAACGGCUUCUACGGUGAAAAUAUUGACAAAUGGUUCACUGAAAGUGAAAAAAAUAUUAAAUGAUAUAUAAAAGAGUUACUAUUUGUUAUCUGUUUUAGUAUACAUUUAACCUGAAAGAUGUAAAUUACAUGGAUGACCAUAUAAGUAAAAUAUUAAAUGAUUGCAACGCUCUCAGAUUUAAAAGAAAUAAAAAAAAUAUUUUGUGGACAAUUGAAAAAGGGUAUAUCUGCGUUGUAAUUCUCCUGCUGAUAGUUGUUCACCUUCAAUUCAGUCUUUAUGACUGGAAAGAGCACUUUGCACAAAUGUGUGAGUGCGUUGCUGGAAGUAGCAUAGAAAGAGUGGUUGCACACGUUGCAGGAAGUUCUUCAUCAUAUUCAUUUUAUUAUAUAUAUAAAAUUAAAUUUGUUAAUAUUUUUACGAAGUGUUCCCAUAUUUUGUACUUUUCAUAAUUACCAAGUAAAUCCCAAUCUAAAUAGAAAUGUUAUCCUUUUUCAAACAUACAAAUAUAUAAUUUUCUGCAAAUUAACAUAUUUAUUUUUAAAUUAACUUCAUUUUAUAUUGAUAUUCUUAAUACACUAAUGACAUACAAUAUAAUUAUAAAUCCUUGUUGAAAAUUUGAACAACAGAGUUUGACAAAAAUGGGGAAUUAUACGGCAAAAUCUGCAUAUAUUCAAGAUAAUGUGAGGGAGAUAAUUUCAAAUUAACAUAAAUCGUAAUUUCAAAUUCGUGAAUCAUAAAUCCGUAACAUGUGAGGGAGAUAAUGUCUUGCAUGCUAAUUUUUAUUCAUGUUGGUUAAGUUUUUAGGAAAAAAAUGUAUAGUUUUUUCUUUCUUUUUAAUCUUGACAAGUUGACCUGAGCAUAUAAUAAAUAAAAAAUCAAAAUACUAAAAAGAAAAUAGCAUUUGCGUGUUAUUCAAUCGAAAGACGUGAUGCAUAGAUCAAAUAUGUAGGUACGAUAUAUAUGUUGUUGACUACCAUUUCAAUAAAAAAGCUUAUAAACAUAAGAUAAUGAAAGCGCAUAGAUCCUUCAAAGUUAAGAUAUUGGAAGGUGCCUUGUUAUCUCUUUCUUUUGUGGUCUUGUUUGAGUUCGACGAGGCCGAUGCAAAAAGAACGCAUGUGAGAACACGUGUGUCACCGGUGCAGAAGGUUGCAUUGAUUACUGUGAUAGGCUGCACGGCGACGAUGGAUUUGCCGUUGUGGGAUAAAAACUUGUCUAAUAUCCCCAAUUUCCAGUAGAUAUUUUGUCAAACUAAUAAAUAGGAUGAUAUAGUAAAAUGAUCAAAUUCCUGUUAAAUAUGUUAAAAUAAUUUUAUACUUGAUAGAGCAUCUGGGUGAAUUCUUUAUUUUAUUUCUCAUCUGAUCUCAAAAUGUUGGUAUAACUAUUUAUUUAAAUUUAAAUUUGACUUAGUAAGAGUGCAAUUGUGCAAAAAUAUCAGAAAUGAGACCAGGUUAAUCUAAUUUAUAACAAUAGUAUAUCAGUAUUAAUAUUGUGUACGUAUAAGUAAAUGAUAAAUUAAAAAAUAAAUAAAACUAACAUUAAGAUAUAUUUUACAAUAUAUGUUUUAAAAGAAACCAUAUAAUAUAUGCAUCACUGGAAAUACUUUUGUAUGAUAAAUUAUUGUUUUUUUUUUUUACUGAAAUGGAUAUUUUUGUUAAUUAAACAUCAUUCGUCUUCAAAAUAUUCACACAUGUGAUGUCAGAAUAGGUGACUUCACCUGAUUCUUAUUUAAUAAUAUUUUCUUAAAUAUUAUUAUAAAAUUAUAAUUUUAUCUAUUUUAUUUUAAAAUUAUUUUUUAGUUUUGUUGAAAAAAUGGUUUUAAUUAAAAAUUUAAUAGGUAAAAUUAUAGUUUUCUAAUAAAAUAUUUAAUAGAAAUAUCAUUAAAUAAAAAUUGAAUGAAAUCAUACAUGAUGGCAUCACCAAGUGAGAAAAACUGCAUUGUCUUAGAGAAGUAUGUCUGACUAGGUGAAACUAUUUAAAAUGGCAUCACCAAAUUACUCAAUCACCUAAAUCUAGUGAUACUUUACUAAUAGUACCACCUAAAUGGAGAGGAGUUGAUUGUUGCCAUUAAAAUUCCAUGUGGCUUGAAUUACUCACUUUAAUAAAUAUAUUGGAGACCAACCCAAAAUGAUAUUUAGUUAGCAAAAAUGAUCCGUUUUGGUCAAUAACCCACCUUGAUUGCAUAGCAAGCUUUUCUCUUGGUUUAUUUCAUUGUGUCAGGGUCGAUUUAAUAAUAAACCAAACCUAAAGUAAAUUUUAAAAGAGUUUUGUUAGUUAAUUAUAUUGGGCCUUUUUACUAACUUGUGUGAUUGUUUUUUUUAUCAAUAUAUGAAGUCUUGUUUACACUAUAAAUCUAAUAACAGAUUUUCUUUUUUUGCUCAUAGGUCUAAAGUGCAAGCUUUAGUUGUUUUCCUUUUGGACCGACCUUCCAUUAAUUUUUUUUAGUACAGACACAUAUAUGUGGAUUAUGGUAUUUAAUGUGUUGUAUUUGGCUUUGACAAGGAGGCUGCUGCUGAAAUCAUGCUGGUGCGUUAUUUUGGUGUUUGGAGAUGGUGAUGCAUUUGGGCUAUUUUGUUACAUAUACUUGCUGUUUCGGAUUGGUAUUGGCACAUUUUAUACUCAAACCAUGUUGUUAUUGAAUAAAAUUAUUAUUUUGCUUUUAAGAAAAUAAGUAUCUUAGUGUACACGUGUUUGAAUAUGUGAUGAAAGAAUUGUGUUUGUAAUCUUAUAAAAUUUAUUAUGAUUAAAAUUGAUUUUGAAGUAACAUCAUUUUUGUUUGAAAAAUGGGUAUUACAAAAGUGUUUUUUUUUAUAAAGAAAAUGUUAGUUGGAUAUUUUUAAUCAAAAUUGAUUGAUUUCGUAAUUUCGAAAAUAGAUUUUAAUUAGGACGGUUUAAUUUAUCUAAUUGAAAAAUCUUUAUUUCAUACUAAAAUAUGCAAUAUUUGCAACAACAAAAAAAAUACUACACAGGUAGUGCAAAAGAAAACUACAAAUUGUGAUAAUAACUUUAUAAACAGUCACACAUCCUCCAACACCACCAAACUCAUUUUCAUAUACACAGUCUAUACAGCCCUAGGUUACCAAUAUAUACUAUAACAACUUAUUAAAUCUAGGUACAAAAUGGGCAUACACUGAGAGUCACUGUCCAUGGUAUGGUAGUAACUAGUAAGCCAACCAUAUAUAUAUAUAUAUAUAUAUAUAUAUAUAUAUAUAUAUAUAUAUAUAUUAAUGUUUAAUUAUCAAAAUGUGGGAGUGACUCCCUUAUUUAUUAGUUUAGUAUAGUUAUGUGGACACACUAUUAGGCACCCCUCUGCAUGUAACACCAGGUUCAGAGCUAGGAGCAAGCAACUCAUAAGGCAACACCCCUGCACCGCAACGGUUCCUUAGAGUCCUAUCAAGGUUCCUGCCAUCAAUC
Molecule: long non-coding RNA, 58387 nt
Filed under: Glycine max (soybean)
Lineage: Eukaryota; Viridiplantae; Streptophyta; Magnoliopsida; Fabales; Fabaceae
Description: long non-coding RNA (GMAX_LNC003600)
Source: RNAcentral